This 83254-nucleotide long non-coding RNA is filed under the name Lactuca sativa (garden lettuce). Its description in RNAcentral is "long non-coding RNA (LSAT_LNC003408)". Lineage: Eukaryota; Viridiplantae; Streptophyta; Magnoliopsida; Asterales; Asteraceae. The record is from RNAcentral.
UUUCCCACAUUUAACAAAAGGAAAACUAAAUUAACACCAAAUUGCCCAAAAUUAAACCAUAUAUUAUACUAAAUUAAUUCACAACAGUUCGACAUCAAUCAAAUAUUAUCUCGCACUCGAAUUCACAAAACUCACUUUCCGGGUACAAAGUUUGUAGCAUAUGACCAUGCAUUGUUUGCAACAGGGUCAGCAAGGUGGUCAGCGAGGUUCUCCAAUGGUCCCUUUCCGGUAACAAUGGCUUGAACAAAGAAUCCAAACAUAGAGAACAUGGCUAGUCUACCGUUCUUGAGCUCCUUCACUUUCAGCUCAGCAAAUGCCUCUGGGUCAUCAGCCAGACCCAAUGGGUCGAAGCUACCACCAGGGUAAAGUGGGUCAACUACCUCACCAAGAGGUCCACCAGCAAUUCUGUAACCUUCAACUGCACCCAUCAAGAUCACUUGGGUAGCCCAGAUGGCUAAAAUGCUUUGUGCAUGGAUCAAACUUGGGUUCCCCAAGUAGUCAAGACCACCCUCACUAAAGAUCUGGGAUCCAGCCUUGAACCAUACAGCCUCACCAAACUUGACACCAUUACGCGCCAAGAGUUCGGGGAAGACGCACCCAAGAGCUCCGAGCAUGGCCCAUCUGCUGUGGAUGACCUCAAGCUCACGGUUCUUGGCGAAUGUUUCAGGAUCAGCAGAGAGCCCAGCAGUGUCCCAACCGUAGUCACCGGGGAACUCACCGGUCAGGUAAGAUGGGGCUUCGCCGGAGAAUGGGCCAAGGUACUUAACACGGUCGGGGCCGUACCAUGGACUUCCUGAUGGUGCGACUUUCUUGACUGCUGUCUUCCUCAUGGAAACCCUUCCAUUUCCGGUGAUUUCUGAACCAGAUGGUGCUACUUUCACCGCCUGUCCGACGAAAGAAGAGGAUAGUGCCAUGGUGGAAGCUGCCAUUUUUGUGAGAUUUGUUUUGAAGAUGUUUUGAUGAUAUGAUAGUAUUAUGAGUGAUGAAGAUGUGUGGAUCUGGAACAUAGAUUUAUAGGGUGGUUUUUGGGCCAAGUAGUUGAUAAAUGUUUAUCUUGAUGCAAUUUUUAACUUCAUUUUGAUUGGCUACCAAGAUUUUAGUUCUAUCAGUGGGUCCAUAAUCUGCGUGGUUCCACUAUUCGAGUUCUCUGGCCCACAUGAGAUAUUUGAAGGGGCAGCGAUAUUCAUGGCUCUGUCUUAUUAAGCGAAUAUAAUGGCUAGAAAUCUCAGCCACUAGCUACCAUGCACAAACCGGUUUUUUUUUUGAACCGGACCGCUUCAAAAAUCCGGUUCGGUUCUAGUCAAUUUAGUCAAAACCAGUUUGGUUCCAAACCGGUCCAGCUUCAAAAUAAUUCAAACGUAUGUAAACUCGUUAAAGAAAAAACCGGUUCAAAAAGGGUUCAAAACCAGUUUGACGGAAAAAAGGUUUUUUUCAAUUUUUAUUUUGUUUUUAGGCUAAUAACUGAAAAAUAGGAAUUUUUUUUUAUAAUAUUGCUUUUAUUGUGUUUAAAAAAAAAGUUUCACACUAGGUUUUUUGAAAAUGGAAGUGGAAUGAAUUGGGAAUUCAUAAGCCUUUUUUUUGGUAAUACACACGUACACACGUCCAUAUGCCAAAAGGUUUUUAUUAUUAUUUUUUUUAUUUCUUGUUUAAUCUUUUGAUGUAUUAAAUUUUUUUUUUGUUUCAGAUUUGAUGUUUUAUCUUUUUUUUUUUCAUUUUUUUUGUUUUUUAUAUUGGAAAUACAUAAUACAACUUCAAACAUAAAAACACAAAACAUCCAAAUUGUCAAACUAAUACAUCUUCAAAUAUAAAACAUUGAUGUCGUCGUAGUCUUCAUUCCAAGUCCGUAGUCAUUGUAUUUAUUCGUCAUCCGCCAUGUCGUUGCGUAAUUCUCUCUCAUACUCGAUCUCUUCUAGGGUGAGUGACACCGACAUUCCCAUCGCUACUUCUUCCUCAUGUACUCGUGCUUCGACAUGCAACGAUGUGCCUUCUAGUGCUUCGAUGUCUUGUAUCCUUUCCACGCCAUCAAGGUAGUAUUUCAAGCAAAUGCACACUUCCACCGACAAAUGGGUUAGUUUUGUUCUUCUUGGUGAUAUUACCCUGCCACUAACAGAAAAACCGAUUCCGANUUACCCUGCCACUAACAGAAAAAGCCGAUUCCGAAGCUACCAUAGAAGCUUGGGAGCUUAGUAGAUCACGGGCCAUAGCGGCUAGAAUUGGAAAUUAGGUUUCCUUUCCUUUCCACCAAACCAAAAUAUCAAAAUUUUCAAACUCUUGAAUACUCAUUUCACUACUAGAAAAAUAGCCUUUUACGACGCGCGAACAACGACACGCGCUGUUUUAUGAUACACAAUAGUGUGUGCCCUAAAAAUAAUGUCGGCUCUCCAAAAAUUAGAAGGAUUUAGGGUACGCAUUUUUGCGCGCCCUAAAAUAAGUGUUACAUUAAAAAAAAACACGGAGGGCACAUAACAUAAAACGCGCGUCCACUAAGUAUGUCGCUUUAUAUUUUUUAAAUGAAAUGCGGGUCACAUUUUUUAGGGAAAACGAAAUUCCAAAAAGUUUGAAAGGCCCGCCAUGUUCCUACCUUCUUUCCACCGUUCUUCUCUCCCUUACUCAAAAUACCCAAAAAAAACCCUAAUAUACUCAUCGCUCCUCUUUUCUCCCAUAACAAACUCGCACCAUCACCAAAUCUCUGAUCUCCCACCAGCAAAAGGUCUCCUACCGAUGUCUCCACCUACUCUCUGCCCUCUCACUAUUUCUCUCAAUUAAAAACGCUAGAUCUCUCAAUCAGAGAACCAUGGCUACUUCUCCUUUCUCCCACACCAGUUGGCAAAAAGUGAGGAGUCUCGAGCCUAGCAGUUGAUAUUCACAUGCCCUCUUAAAUUGAAGGAAUCAGAACAUUGUCGACAUCAAUUCGUUAAUCAUCACUAGAGAAAUCAGAUACGCCAUCUGGUUGAUGAGUCAAGAGAAAUCACAUAUGUCAUCGCUUCAGCAAUCAUCCCUCCUUUUAACCGUAAGUUUUCAAUCUUACACUUUACAAAUAUCAUAUAAACAUCUCUCUCUCUCUCUCUCUCUCUCUUUCUCUCUCCUGCUAUACCUUGAUGAAUUAUCGCAUACAUAUGGAGGAACUGCUUUCUAAAAGCCAGCUAUCGGGAGAGUCAACAGGGUCAAUUGGGUGUUCAAAAGGUGCUUCGAUAUCAUCUUCCCGCCAGCAAAUCUCUGUUAAAGUUGUCACAGAGUAAUCCAUUUGAGUUUGGGCAUAUAUUUUUUGUUAUUAAUUUAGGGGGAGACUGUGUUCCAUGAUUUUGGUCAUGCAUUUCUUCAGCACACGCUAACAAGACAAGAUGAAGGGCUUGUUGUUGGUAUUCGUGGCAUAGAGUGGAUGCUGUUGAGUUACCUUUCCAGUUCAUGGAAAAUUGGUGCUACCGUAGGUAGGUAUAUAUAUCUCCAAUUUCAAGAUGUUGUUCAACUGCUGCAGGAACGAGGUGAGGGUGGCUGAUGAGAAUUUGUGACAGGAACUAUCCGAUUGGGGAUUCCAGCUCAAGUGGGGCAGUUGGCGCAUCAGAUCCAGCAGAAUCAGAAGAUAAUGAGGCCUUUAUUGCAAUUCUCUUCUUUUGAAUAUGAAAAGAUGCACUUUUCAGUCCUAAUCUGGGAUGUGAAAAUGAAAGGAACCCCUGUUUAGCCAACAAAACAAAGUAAAAUUCAGUUACAACACUUACCCAAAUAUAGCAUUCUACCUUUAAUUUUUCUCAUCAAGACAAAAUUGAAUCAGUUAUGAAACCGACCACAUAAAAGGCUGUUUUUCUAGAGUUGCAAUGUUAGGAAUAAAAGUCACAAUGGUAUGUGGUCGGUUUCAUAACUGAUUCAAUUUUGAUGAGUAAACAGGUUAGAUUUCAUAUGGUUGUUUGUUCAGAUUGGUAUUCAUCCUGAUUUUCCUUCAAUUAUGCAACAACUAUGCUGGAAUUUGCUAUGUUCCAUACUCGGAUUUUGAAUUUAUCGGAAAAUUGAAUAAUUAAUCUGGAAAAAUACCAUCUUUGAAUGAUUUUUUUGUCAUCUGUAGAUAAGGAAUACCAUCUUUGGGUAAUUAGUUUAUCUAGUCUACAUGAUUAAAUUAAUGGACAUAUAAUUCUCUAUUGAUAGAACAAAAAACAUUGCUUUGUAGUGAAGAUAAGGAAUACCAUAUUUGGGUAAUUAGUUUAUCCAUACUCGGAUUAUGAAUUUAGCCCACCAUCAGCAGGGGAUUGCUGAGUUUUAUGUGACCAUAAUGCCCUUUCGGUUUGUAGUGAAGAUCCAAGCAUGUAAUUAAUAACACCUCUAAUUAAUUAAUUAAUUAAUCCCCUAAAACUAACUAUGGUUAAAUUAAACUGGUGGUAGGUGCCAGUGUACAUAGGGGCACAUAUGGUCAAAUAUGUUUUAAUUAUUAGUCUAAUAUCUUUUGAUACUUAUCAAUAACAACAAAAUAAUGUAAAAUCGUGUGAAUACAAUUCAAGGGUAUAAUGGUCUAGACAGAGAUUAUUUUUAUUAAAGAUAUUUAUUUAUUAAUCAUCAGAGAAGAAGGAAUUAAUAUGAAAGAAUCACUUACUGCAAAAUAAUCUUCAAAUGUAAAAUCAACAUAGCCUAAGCCCUGAUUUUUAUUUCACCACAGGUUGGCGAGCUGGCGGGAAUAGCUUUGGGAGCAACUGUCAUGCUUAAUAUUCUUAUAGUUGUGUACGUUAUGGUCAAAAUAGUUCAGCAAGAACCUCUGUUGAAAUGAUAUAGGCCACUAAUUAUUUAAAACUAUCACUGGCUCCUCAUUAUGGUCAAAAUAGUUGGUCUGUUAAAAAUUGUGACUAUGAGCAAUUUGCCACUUCUAAAUGGGUUCUUUGUAGUUUUCCUUUCUAUAAUUCAGGAAAUAGGAUCAUAUUUUACUCUUGCAGAAAUAGUUAUGGUCUGUGAGCAUUCUUCCAGAUUGUAAGAACGUAAUUUUCAACACAACAAAGGUGAAAUUAUAUCUAUGUUUUCUUGUGUAUUUAACUUCACAGGAGCUGAAACAUGAUCUAAUUUUUUUUAUCUAUUGGUUAUGUUGAAUAUGGAUAAAAGGUUGUGGCUCAGAAAAGUGUUGGUGAUGCUUCUACAUUUGUUGAGAGUGAAUUUUCACUGUCAAAUUCAAGUUGGAUUUGGUAUGUAGAAAAAGUGUGUGUUUAGAGUAAGGACUUUUUCCUUGUUGGACUGUAAUAGUAGACCAAUAUGAUUCGUUUUAUAAAACCCUUAGACAGAUCACAGUUGGUUCUGCAAUUGCAUGGUCAGGUAAACAUUCUAAACACAUUUUCAAUUUAUUUUGUGAUAUUUAAUUUCUCCCAUAUUCUUUUAAAUUAUAUUAUAAUAUGCUUAUAAACACUACUUUCCUUUCAUGUAGCCAAAAAAUUGUCCCAAAGUUGACUGAGGUACUUUGGACAAAAAUACAAUGUUAGCUUACAUCUUUAUUAGUUAAUAUAAUCAAAUUUCUAAUUUUAGGUGCUAACUGAUACGCGUCCGCAAGUUCAGUCUGCAUGGCAGACAACACUCCAGCAGGUUUGACUAUAUUCUUAUGGGUUGUGGCAUUCACAUUCCCAUAGUGAUCUUGAUAAAGUUGCUUCUAUUUCCAUGCUAAGUUGGCUUUUAUUUGUAAUAUAGGAGGUCCAAAAUCUUGCAAAGAAGGCUGCAGAAACUGUGGUGUUGGUAAUUGAUGAUGAAGGGACUGAGUAUUUGAUAUCAGAACUUCUCAAGUUGCUUCUAUUUCCAUGCUAAGUUGGAUUUUAUUUAUCUUACUGUUUAUUAUCAUUUUUUAUAUAAAAUUUCAUCAUUUAUAUUAUAUAUAUAGUACAUUAUAGACUUUGCAUCAUAAUUUGUUGAAUGUUACAAGAUAUAAUUCAAAAUUCAAUUUCCUCAUGUUGUUGCUGAAAUGACAGCAAUUGGUUUUGGCCUACCAAAGAAUGCAUUCACCGCUUUAAUGAAGAAUGUAAGUGUUUAUUUUUCUUUUCUGUUUGGUGAAAAUCAUCAAAUGACAAUCUCAUUAUAUAUCUUAGGAUCUUAUCAGUUAAUAAACUUGAUCGUGGGUAUGAUCAAGCAUAGGUUUACAUUUAUACCCCUGCUUUUAUCUUUUAUCUUUUAUGUUAUAUAAUUAUAUUCCCCCUUUUUUUAUCAGGUUAAUUUGGUGGUUAAUUAUGAUCUUCCUAUAAGACAUGAUCAUCAAUCUCACUACAAGAAAAAUACCCUUUUACGACGCGCAAAACACGACGCUCUUUGAUUUAUGUUACGCAUUAGAGAGCGACAUUAAAAAAGUGUCAUCUCUUAAAAAAUUUUAAGGAUUUAGGUCGCGCAUUACUGAGUGCCCUUAAAUUAGUGUCUCAUGUAAAAAUAUUAAAAACACGGAAGGCACUUGUGCGUCGUCUGUGAAUGUCGUUUUAUAUUUUUUUUUAAGAAACACGCGUCUCGGAGGGAAAAUGAAAUCCCCAAAUUUUUUAAACCCCCACCUUUUUCUCCCUCGUCUCCACCCCUCAUCCACAUCCACUACCUCCGAUCCUCAUUUCCUCUUCUAGCCUCAAACUACGGCGAUGCACCUUCCUUCUCGAAGAAUGCUUCAUUUACCACCAUCGUCCGAUUAUGUGAGCCCAAGGAAUUGACCAAGACGAAGAAGAUAAUGGAUCAAUUGCUUCACAUCAUGUUUAAGGUUAAGGGUUUGAGUUAGUCCGCAACAGGUAAUCGAAUUUUGCCUAAUAUAUAUUUCUACUCUCAAACUGUUUAUUCGUCCGAUUGGAUGCAUAUUUACUAUUAAAUUUGGGGAUUUUCUUUUAAAACCCCCGCGCCUCUUCUUGUUUGUAGCUAAACAACCGUGAAUUUGUUAGAGUGAUUGGAAGAGGAAAAAUAGAAGAUAGAAGAAAAAGAAGAAGAAGAAAAGCGAACAAACGGGAUUUCUUGACCUGAUGUGUUAAUCCGUGAUCAGGUCUUCUGAGCGAAGAGAAGAUCUGAGGCUCAAUUGAAGAAAUAUGAGCGCUUCUAGAUUUAUAAAGUGCAUCACAGUCGGUGAUGGCGCUGUCGGGAAGACUUGUCUCUUGAUUUCCUACACCCGUAACACCUUCCCCACGGUAAUCAUCUCUUCAUCAACCGCCUUCAGUUUCUGCCCAACUAAAGCACGGUUACACACUUAUUUCUCUUCGGACGUUUCUGUGGCUUCCAUGGGAACGGAGGAGGAUGAUAUAAAUGAGGCAACAACUUCAUUCGCUACAUGUUUGAACCUUAAAUUGAAGGGAUUAUAUAUUGAAAUUUGAAUCUACAACUUCGAAUUUCAGUCAUCUCUCUUCUCUUCUACAUCUCACCUGAUUCUCUAUUGAAAUUUCUAGGGUUUUUAAUUGAACCUACAUCUUCAUCUUAAUCUUCUUUUCUGAAGUUAGGGCUUUUUUCUUAAGAACAACUAAUUUUUUGCAGUAAGUAAACCUCUAAUUUUUUCAUUUCUCAUUUCCUUAGACCUCUCCCCUUUCCAUCUCAUAUCGAGGCAAAAUCAAUUUCACUUUGGUGGCUUCGAUUUCCUAGCACAUAUUAUGUUAUUAUAUGGAUUUGUAGGAAAUUAGAAAUCAUGUUAGAAUGUUUGAUGUUCUGUAUGUUCAUAAAAGUACAUCUAAAACAAAAAUCUUAGAUUAAACAAAACUGAAGCAUUUAAUGAGAUGUAAUUACUAACUUUUGUUGGAGAUGCAAAUGCUAAAUAAAGAAAACUGAAGCAUUAAAUGAGAACCUUUAUAAUUCGAUUUCAUUCAGAUCUUCGGUGGAUAUUUAGGGCUAACAAAGAAAACUGAAGCAUUUAAUGAGAUGUAAUUACUAACUUUCGUUCAAGGUAACCCCUGUUAUGAAUACAUGUAAGAAUUUAUUUAUCUUUUUCUCUCACCACUUGCUAUCCAUGUGCUGCUCUCUCAUAGUUGAUAUCUAACAACAAAGACCUGAUCAGUCUAGUUUGCUUGUUUUUUUUCUUUUUCUUAUAAUUCUUGAAUACGUGCAGAUUUUUUAAGACUUCUAGUUUUGUUUUUUGUUCAGUGAUAUUGAUGAUGAGGCAAGUUUAUCAACACUAUGGGAGAGAUAUCAAAGUGUCUCUGAAAAGGUAUUGCGAUAUCAAAGCAUAAAUUAUUUAUGGAUUAAAAUGGGAAAAUGACUUAUAUGGGUAAGAAAGUUUUAAAAACUUUUAAAAAUGACUAUCAAAGUAUUGUUUGUAUAAAAAACACCAACCAAGUUUACCAUUUUGUCAAAUCUAACAGGUUGGUAACCUGCAUCUGCCGGUCAAAAAAAAUUACCUGAUCAUUUUAAAAACUGAAAUUAUAAAUGACAUGGCAUCCUUUUUUAGUCUUACGUGGAUUAAUUGCAAGGGAAGAUCCAUUUUCUCAGCGUUCUUUCUCAAAAUCAGGAGGGAGUCAACACAGAACCCUCUCUAGGGUUAGUUUCUGCCCCUGUAUACAGUUAUUUUUGUUUAAAUUGACUGAUUUUAACAGUUGACGAAUAUGCUCCUGCUUUGGGCUAAUCACACAUAUGUCUUUUUUAUGACCAAAUUGCCCCUGUAUAUAGUUUUUUUUUGUUACAAUUGACUGAUUUUACCAGUCAAUUAAGGUGUUGUUUAGAAACUGUUAGUAUCCAAGACCAUUUACAUGCUCGUGCACAAAGACGAAUUUGCCCUUGAUUGUGACCAAACUGCCCCUGUAUACAUAUUUUUUAUUACUAAAAACACCCCCUGUCCUAGAAAAAUAUGACACUUCUAUACAAAAGCUAAUACCAAUUUCUCACUACAAAUCAACUAAUAAGAAAAGAAGUGGGCAACUCUCUAAAAUGACCAAAAUUUGAAUUGCAGUGUCACAAAUUGACAAUUUUUUAAAGCUAUAAUGAAAUAAUGCUUUGUUUUGUAAAAUAUACAAAAUCCGUUUGUUGUUGUGUGCAACUAAUCCACAAACAUUUACAUAAUUCUCGUUAGUGUACUUUGCAAAGUGGUGCUGAAGUAAUUUGGGCAACAAAAGUACAUAUAACUAUAUUAAUAUUCUCUAAAUAAUCAUAUAUAAUGAAAUAAUGGUUUGUUUUGUAAAAUAUACAACCCAUACUGUAUUUUUGAUAAAAAAAAAUAAUGAUUUUAAGAGAUUUUGUCCGAAAUACCCUUAUAUACUCUUUUUUUUGGUAAAAAAUUAAUGAUGUAAUAGUUUUUGACUAAAAUGCCCGUAUAUACUAUUUAACAGGUUUGACCCCAUCUGAAUUAUGAUUCAGCUUAAAAUUGAAUGCCAUUUUGACAAUUUUAUUGCUUUUAAGACUAUUUACUGCUGAAAAUAUGUCAAAUUUGUUACAUUUUGCUGCUAUAAAUAGUCAAAAAAUAACUAAAAGUCUACAAAGAUUCAAGGUAACAGUAAAUAAUACUGGCAUUUCCAGCAGCAAAUCUUCAAUUGCAGGGACUAAACUUUGUCAUUUUUAGCAGAAAACUUUAUCAACCAACAAAAAGAGGUUAAUAAAGAAUCUAAAUGGCAUUCCAUUGUAACAGCAUCAAAACACGACCUGCACUCAAAACCCUCCAAAAUAGCCCCUACACUCAAUUGUAACAGCCCCUCUGUUGUGAUUCCUUUAACUGUGACCAAAUUGCCCCUCUAUUGUGAUUCCUUUAGAUUCAAGGUAACAUUGUUUUAAGUGAAAAGAUCAUUUCAUAACUUGUUUACAUAAAUUCUUUCUUAGCUUGUUUACAUAAAUUCUUUUUCUGUCAAUUCCUUUCAAGACAAAAAGAAAGAAAGCAGGAACUUAUAGCCAUGCAAGUAAUUUCAUUAUUUUUCUCAUUAACGAUUGUACUUCCUUUGCUCUUUCUUGCAUAAUAAUAAACAGAUUUAAAGAGGAGUGGAGCCAUAUGACCACCUGAUGCCCCCAAAUCAAUUUAUUUGAGCUAGAUUUGAACGAUUUACAAGGAGAAGAAGAAAAUCAAUUGUCAAGAGGAGAGGAGAUGUAUGACCACCCACCUGAUGCCCUAAAUCGAUUUAUAAUAUGUAUUUUUCAUUUAAUGCUGAGUAGAUGUGCAACACACUACCUAAAUAUGCCAACUAAUCAUUACUUUUGCCAACUCAGCCGUUCACCUGGAGAUCCGGUUACCACCGGGUCAUAUUUGAACAAAAGAUAAACUUCGUUGGUAUUUUUUGUACGACGCCUAUAGUUAAAUGGUAUUUUUGAACAACUAAAACUUCAAUGGUUUUUUUUGAAUGUUUUUGAAACUUUCUUACCCUUAUAAGUCAUUUUCUCGAUUAAAAUUGAACUUUUUUCAUACAUUACCUAACAUUGACUUGUCUUAAUUUGCAGGCAGAAAUACAAAAGGCUUUUCAUAUAUUUCUUAAACAAUUUUUUGUAAUAUACAAGAAUUGGGAGCCAUUAGAUUUAGAUAAUUCCAUAGAACCUUUCAUUGAUUCAAGGGAUCCUCUUUCUGAAAAAAAGAUUGCAGUGGCAUCAGAAGGCAGUCAUAUCAGUGAUGGAAGCUGGUGGUCUUAAUUGGUUAGUAGGUAAGGUAUGCAUCUUCAGAUUUAAUUUCUAUUGAGAACUAAACACAUUUGAAUAUCUGAGAACUAAACACACUUGAAUAUUUAUAAAUGAUGCACACAUCCAAAGGGAUAAUAGCAAUGUUUCUAAUGGCGUCAAAUAGACCUGAUUGUGACCACUAAUGGUUCAUCAGGUUUGUUGAUUUUUAUUUUAUUUUAUUUGAAGUGCAUUAUCUGGUUUAAUAUGAAAUGAUUCAUGUUGAAAUUGGUUUCUUUUGUUACUCCAUAAUACUUGAUAUCUUAUUUUUUGCAUGCAGGUGCUAACAAAUAUGGUGUCAUUAUCAUUGUUGUUGUUGUUGUUGGAUACGGAUAUGUUUGGUGGAAGGUAAAUAUAAGCUCAUAUAUUAAUAUUAUUACUUUUUACAGUUAACUUGUACAUAGUUUUUCUUCAACUAACAGAAAUGGUAUCAUUAACAGGGUUGGAAACUUCCUGAUAUGAUGUUUGCUACAAAAUGAAGUUUAUCUGAUGCCACAUAUGCUUUAGCUAAAUAGAUUGACACUGUUUACUCAUCACUUGCAGUAAGUUAUUUAAAAACUUUGUUAUUUUUUUGUUAUUAAUUUGGGUUGUUUAUUAUGUUGUUUAGGCUACCAAGAGACAUUUAUCUACAAGGAUUGACCGUGUUGAUAGUAGUUUAGAUGAGGUUGCAGAAAUUACUGCUGCUAAAAAAGAGGAGGUAUGACAAGAUAAAGGUUGUUCUAGAUGUUUAAUCUAUACAUAAUGCGGUUUACACCCUGGUGUGGUUCUUUUCCAUUUUGUCUUGUGACUUUGAUAUUGUUUUCUGAGUUGGAUAUGUGGUAUGAUAAAUUAUUUUUACAUGAGAGUAGGCUGAGUAGGGUUGAAUUGAAAUAGGUACUGAAUAUUACCGUUUGACAUGCGAUUUUUUCUAGCUUAAUGAGAUAUUUAUAACAAAUAAUUUUGAAUUUUUGUUGUCUUUUGUAGGGAAAUCCAUCAAGUUCAUCAAGGCCAGCUCUUGAAUUACCAUAGAGAGUAAACUUCUAAUCUUAUACAAAUACAAUGAUUUGCUAAAUUCAAGAAAUAACAAUGCACUUUUAUUUAUUACUUUUAUUAAAACAUCCUAGUUUAAUUUCUAGCUUAAUGAGACAUUUAUUACUUUUAGCAGAGAUCGAUAUAUAUAUGAGCUUUUUGCUUUCAAACAUUGUUGGGGAAGAAUGUUGAAACUUGCUCUUUGUGAAGGUAAUUUUUUUUCUUAAUGCAUUAUCCUCUAUAUUCUUGAUAUUUUUCCCACUUUUUAAAUCUUUUAUCAAAUUCUCACUUUUGGAUACAGUGCUUGAUGAGAGAAUGUGUGACCUAAAUCUUUUAUCAAAUUCUCACUUUUGGAGUUGGCCAUAAGAAAAUGUAGGCAAAGGGUAAUUUGUUAUAGUUCAGGUUGACAAGGUGCUGUAUUUUUCACAUAAUUGACAAGGAGCUGUUGUAUCUAUUCAGACUAGACUUAGAGCAAUGGUUGCAAGAGAUGAGUUCAGCAGAAAAAGAAACAAGGCUGCAACUAUAGUUAAGGUACUAUGGAUGAAUUAUGUUUGUAAAGUAUUUAAGAAAAUGAUUAUAAACAAGGGUGAAUUUGUACAAAUUAGUUAGCUACUUGCANUGAGUAUUUGAUAUCAAAACUUCUCAAGUUGCUUCUAUUUCCAUGCUAAGUUGGCUUUUAUUUAUCUUACUGUUUAUUAUCAUUUUUUAUAUAAAACUUCAUCAUUUAUAUUAUAUAUAAUACAUUAUAGACUUUGCAUCAUAAUUUGUUCAAUGUUACAGGAUACAAUUCAAAAUUCAAUUUCCUCAUGUUGUUGCUGAAAUGACAGCAAUUGGUUUUGGCCUACCAAAGAAUGCAUUCACCGCUCUAAUGAAGAAUGUAAGUGUUUAUUUUUCUUUUCUGUUUGGUGAAAAUCAUCAAAUGAAAAUCUCAUUAUAUAUCUUAGGAUCUUAUCAGUUAAUGAACUUGAUCGUGGGUAUGAUCAAGCAUAGAUUUACAUUUCUACCCCUGUUUUUAUCUUUUAUCUUUUGUGUCAUAUAAUUAUAUUUCCCUUUUUUUAUCAGGUUAAUUUGGUGGUUAAUUAUGAUCUUCCUAUAAGACAUGAUCAUCAAUCUCAACCUGACCAUGAAGUGUAGUUGCACUGAAUCGGAAGAGCAGGGUGAUUAUGGGAGAUGUUAAGUAGUUAUAGGGCUUUAGAUGCUUUCCCUUUGGGUAGGAAAUGUUUUUAAGACAUGAUCAUCAUUCUCUACCCCUGCUUUCCCUCUGGUGUUUAUCUCCCAUAAAACCCUAAAAUGUGGAUGUGCUAAAACUGAAGAAAUUAGAAGACACAUACUGGAUUUUAGCAAGUCGGGUAAGUUUAAAAAUAUCUUAAUACGAUAUUGAUUAGAUUACACAACAUGUAAUGUAGAAAAUAUCAUGAAUAUUUAUGAUCAAUAUUCAACUUUUGAAAAUGUAUCCAGUUUGAUGUUUAUCUAUUUGACAUUUUUUUGAUAGAAAAUGAGAAUACCGGAGAAGAUGAACCACAAAUUUACAUUGAAAUGAUCAAUGGAAUUAUCAAAUCCCUUCAGGUAUCAUCUCAUAUCACUUGCUUAUGAAAUUUAUUCAUCUAUACUUGAAAAGAUAUAUUUAUUUUUGUGUUGUUUCCAGGCUAUCCUUGAUGCAGUUCUCAGCACAACAAUUAUGAUUUUAUGAUGUUAGGCUAAACUAUAAAGCAAUCAUUCUUUGUUUUAGGAAACGUUUCAGAGCUUCUUUAGGCAGCUUAAUGAUGAGUUAUUGAAACAAAAUGGUGCCCCUUUAUAGCAAUGUAGUAUUAGGUUAUAUAGAUAGGAAAAACCUCUUAAUAACAACGUACAAUUAGAUCCCCUUAAUAUCAAUGUAUUACAAUUUUAUGACAUGAUGUUAUUGAAUGAAAUUGAUUGUGUAAUGGAUUGUAUUUUUUGUAUAUGGUAUUUUAUUUUCUAUUAUGAGACAUGAAAUGCAAAUUUAAUUUGAAAAUUAGUAAAUCUAUAAAUAAUUUUUAAAAAAAAUAAAAUAAAAAUUAUGAUACGCAAAAAUGUGUGUCAUCUUCAUUUAUGACAUGGCCUUUCUUGACAGUGGCUUUAAUGAUACGCAUUGCGUGUCAUAAAUACGUGUCGUCUAUAGACGACGCGCAAAAGCGCGUCGUCUCUCGUUAUGACAGGGCCUUCCUUGACGCGCAUGCGCGUCGUCUGACCGUUUUACGACUCGCAAUGAGCGUCGUAAAAGGCAUUUUUUCUAGUAGUGUUUGAGACAAGAAAUCAGAACCAAUGUACCUUCCGAGCUCGCUACUUGGCGCGUUAGACCGAGCUCGUUUGGAAUUUUCAUUCCUCAAAGUAUUAUAAAGCCUAAUUGUUUCGUUAUUUUAGUGAAAAGUGGAUCCGGGUGCCCCCAUAUUUUGCAUCACGUCAUGAAUGUUUGUUGAACCAUAUUUUGUUAAAUAAACUUCAAAUAAAUUUUGAAAAACUUUGUUAAAUUUUGAAACUUCCUUUGAUGCAUAAUCAAUGUCAUCAUCCAAUAAACCCAAAUCGUAACAAAUAUUUUCAAUUAAAGUCUCAACCCCCCCAACAUUUAGAGUUGGAUUCAAAGUGGCGGAACAAGUAAUAAUGGGAGCCAUUUCUUGAAAAUAUUUUUUUAACUUUGCUUUCAUCGGUUUCAUCAUAUUAGCAAACAUUGUGCUCCUCAUUUCAAACUCAUUUAUUUUCGCACACAUUAAAAAAAUUUGGUUUAAAACUAAACAACUUGUAGGAUAAUAAACCCCCGAUAAAAAAGUGGUUGUUUUUUUUUUAAAAAAACAUCAAGCAUGUCUGUAACAAGUUUGAUAGUAUCCCAACUUGAUUCCGGAUAAGCCGUAACCUUAUUACGGUCCGAAGGUUGUCAUGUAACAUUUUUAAAGUAUGUUUUUGACGUAAGGCACAUUCAAAAAUUUUGCAAGUGGAGUCCCAUCGGGUAUUAUUUUCCCAAUUCAGACCUAAAAAGAGGGCAUUCGCAUCGACACAAAAUUGCAUAUAAUUAUGAUAUCGAGCGUUACUAGAACUAAAAAUAUCUUUUAGCAUGUCUUUGAAACCAUCUUUUAUAGUUUCAAUGUGAGUUAGUCCAUCUUGCACAACCAAAUUAAUCAUAUGUGCAACACAUCGACUAUGAAAAAUAAACACCAUCACAAAUUGGUUUAUAUUUUAGUUUUAGUUGUCCAACCGCGACGGUGUUGUUUGAAGCAUUAUCAAAAGAUAUAGAAAAAAUCUUUCCUUCAAGUUUAUAAGUUUUGAUCACACAAUCUAAAAUUUUAAAUAAAUUUCUAUCGGUGUGCGGGUACUCAAACAAUUCAAACGUAAUCGUAUGCUUUAUCAUUACCCAAUUAGUUGGAUUAAUCCAAUGAGCGGUAACACAAAGGUACGCAUCCGGUGAACCGUCAGGAGCCGUCCAAACAUCACAAGUUAAAUUCACACCGGUUUCUAAAGAUUGAAAUCCUAAAAUCAAUUCAUUUUUUGCAAGUUUCCACAUUUCAAUACAAUCGCGUCUAAUAGAAGUACGACUCACAUGGCAAUAUCGUGGUUGGAGAGUAUCUUGGAUGAGUGAAGUCAAUCGUUUGUUGUCGAAGUGGUCAAAAGGCAAGCAUUCUUGAAUCACGAACUUCGUCAUCCUAUCCCGAACUUUAGCCAUAUCGUAACUCCACAAUGUUGCAUCAUUCGUCAUUCUUGUUUGAAUAUGUCCCGACCCAAAUUUCACCGUGGGGCAUCUUUUGGUCAUAUGAUUUUUCAAUGUCGAAUUCUCAUCUUCAUUAAAAAAAGCACCACAUUUCUUGCAUUGCGCUUUUUUAUACCGUUCGACAUUACACACAAAUCGUAGUUGCACAAAAUAGCCGGAUUUCUAUUUGUUUCUUUGAUGCUAACAACGGUAAGAGUGUUUGAUGAAUCUCGAACACCAACGGAAGCCGAAUCCAUUGUUUGAAUUAAGAGUGGUUUUUGAACUAAGAGAGGUUUGCGGUUUUUGAACUAAGAGAGGUUUUUUGAGGUUUGGUUAAGGUAAAGUUGAGACCUAAAAAUGUAAUACAUAUAUAUAUACUAUAAGGAAUAGUUAAUAUGGUAAAAAAGAAGCAAAAAUCGAGUCUUGAACAGCCUCAAACGACUAUAUAGCCGUUAGGAAAAGACAAAAAAACGGUAACAUUACAAAAACCGGUUCACCAACGGCACUUUCGAAAUCUGGUUCAAAACUGGUUCAUCACACCUGUUCAGAAUAAACCAGUUCCAAACCGGUCUCCAGGGUAAAACAUGCGAACUGGUAACAUCCGAUGGUUCGGUUCACUAUGGGUUCGGUUCUUAUGUGAACCGGUUCAAGGCUAAACCGGUUUCCGGUUCACCAACCGGUUCGGUUCCUAAACCAGUUUUUUUGCCCACGCCUACCACUAGCUAGUCUAGGUGGGCUUUUAGUACGGGGGUUUUCAUGAGGAAUAGGUUGAAAGGAGUGUUGGCAUCUCACUGCCGUCAUCUGUUACCAUUUCAUAAGGAGUGGUAGCAUUCCUAGCACAUUAGAUUUUUUUUUUUUGAUUUUUUUUUUUGAACUUAAAUAAAUUAUAUUUUUAUAAAACACAAACAAUUCAAUAUUAAUCAAGAAACUAACUACAUUUUAUAGAUAAAUUUACCUUAUUUAAACAAGGAUUAAUAGAAAGGUCAAAUAAAAUUUAAAUGGUUAACGACAUGCUUAAAAUUUUACAAAUAUAUUGAUUUUGUAACGACACAAUUUUCUACUCUAUCAAGGUAAAGAAACAUUUAUGUUAAUAAUAAAGUGACACUUUAAUAUAUAUCUUCAAAUAAUUAUUAAAAAUAAAUAAUACUAUAAAAAAUUACCAAUACUAUCUAGAAACAAAAACCACUCACAGCACGGAAUUUACAAAACAACCAUCCAACUUCCUUAUUUUUUUGAAAGAGCUUUUACGAUCUCCAUUUCCAUUUCCUUUUUUUCUUAAAAUUACAUCUUACAUCUUCCAAUUUGCUAUUAUCAUUUCUUAAGUUUGUGAAAGUAGACUAUUCCACAAAACUACUCCUCCAAUUGUGUGAAACACGAAGCAAAAGCGAGACCUUUGAGCUUUUUCUUAAAAAAUAAUCCUUGUUUGAGAUGGAGACCACACCAUUGAUGGGAGAAAUGAAGGUUCUAGAGAACGAUUGUAAGAGGAAGAUUAUUGUAUCCACAGGCCAAUAUCCAACAAAUCUCUUUCUCUUUCUUCUCGCUAUGGUGUUGACGAGCCAUGGCUGGCGACUUCCUUGGCGCAAGCCAGGGGGCGGCCUUCAGCGCCCUUGGCGACCGGUGGCGACCUCCAUAGCGAGGCCCACUCCCUAAAGCCUUAUAACACACCAUUUAUUGACCAAGUUUACCCAACAAUGCAUCCCAAUUCAUUAGAUUUGUCUUAUCAUUAUACUUUUUAUACAAUUUCAUCAUUUUUCUAUAAUAUAUUAAAACUCUAUGAAAAUUCAAAAGAAUAUACUUUUGAAUUUUCAUAGAAUUUUAUUAUAUUAUAGAAAUAUGGUGAGAAUCCUAGAUGCUUUUAUCUCUCUUUCAGACUUAAAAGCCAGUAUGCGUUCAAUAAGUACGUGGCCAACUCCGGACCUAGCUUUUGCGAACGUGGGACGUUCACUUCGGAUAGCCUCGAAAUGAGUACCUCUUACUUUAAAAAUUUAUAACUUUGGCAUACGAGCUCCGUUUUCGACAUUCACUUUCAUUUAGACUCUGUUUGCUAAUUUUGAUUUUUAUUUUUAAAUUUAUAUUUUUUAACAGGCCGGGACUGGAAAAGCCCGUUAAAAAUUCAUAACUUCUUCAUCCGACGUUCGUUUUCGUAUGACUUUUUACCAUUAAACUACUAUCGACGAGAUUUUUGAUUCUCAUUUACAUUGUGUUGGAUAAAAAUCGCUCGAUCUAUACUUCGAACUACGGGCUGCACAAUGUUAUGCCAAAUCUUAGAAAAUUCAUAACUUCCUCAUACGAAGCUAGAUUUGGAUUUCUUUUUUAUGCACGCUCUUGGUUUAACGUAUACUACGAUUUUCAUUUAGAUUGCUAAGGCUAAAAAACACUUUAUCGUAAACUCACUUUUCACGUCACACAAUGUCAUGUCAGUUUUGUCGCGAAACUUCGAUAUGUCAUAAAUUCUUCGUGAUCAGGGCCGAUCUUGAAAAAUGAAAUAUUCUUGGAGCCCCAGGACGAGCAAGAAAAAAAUGGCCCUUAUCUUUAUUAUAAUUUUGUAAUUUUAAAUAAAAAUAUAUAAUGAAAAAAAUUAGGCCAUGUGCAGCUGCCCACUUUGCCUCCUUCUAAGCCCCCAUUGUUCAUGAUAACUCGGAUUUCAGCGUUCUUUAUAUUUCUGGAGUCCUUGUCACGACCACUACAACUUUCUUCAUAGAUAUCGGGUUUAUAUAACAUUUUAUUUUUGACGCUUAUUUUUAUUCUUAAUUAAUUAUAUCAUUAUAAACAAGUAUAUAAUCACAUAAAAUCACGUAAUUCACAUAAUACUCAAGUAAUUCAUCUUUAUUACAUUAAAAUAGGUUACAAUGGUUGACCUUGACUAUUACAUCAUCAUACUAAUGUGAAACAACCUAAAAUACGACCCAAUUUUUUUUUUGUUAAAAUAAUACUAAAGAUAUCAACCAUCAUAAUAUAUCAUGAAAUCGUACGUCAUAAAUCCCCAAAAAGUUAUAAUAGAUAUGUCAUGACAAAAGAGUUGUAUCAACAUACCAUAGUAUCUAAAAUAAACUCCCAGGACAAAAGUUGAAACUGUGGUGUGUGCAAUGUCAUCAUCCUGAGCUCUUUCCUUUGCUUGCGGAAAUACCUGAAACCAAAACUGAAACUGUAAGCACAAAGCUUAAUGAGCUCCCCCAAACUACCACAUACCAUACAAUAGCAUAUACAACACAUACUAGGCCUUGCCCACUGCAUCGGACCGAAGUCCGGAAAUUGCAUCGGACCGAAGUCCAGAACUAACCAAGGCCUUGCCCUCUGCAUCGGACCGAAGUCCGGAACUACAUCAGACCGAAGUCCGGAAACUAACCAGGGCCUUGCCCUCUGCAUCGGACCGAAGUCCGGAACUAACUGCAUCGGACUGAAGUCCGGAACUGACUGCAUCGGACCGAAGUCCGAAAUUGUCUGAACAUAACAUAUCAUAAACAUCUCAACCAGUAUGAACACAUAAACUGCAUAUCGCAUCAGACCGAAGUACGAAACACAUAACACAAAUACAUGCUUGAAUCACAAAGACAUCAAGCAUUCUAAGUACUGCAACGGACGGAGGUCCGAAACUUCUGCUAACUAAACCGACCGGCAUUGUAGCCGUAGACCCGUUCCUACUGGAAGGAAAACUCACCUCGUAAUGCUGGCUGCUGAGAUGCUAACUCUAAAAGUGACUGACCGCUGCUUCGGAACUGUCCGACUACAAAUCCCAGAAACACUAGAUUAGUUACUUGCAUAUACCCUCAGGGUAAGAUGACUAUUUUGCCCCUGGUCAAAGUCAACUUCUAGUUGACCGGACUCGCCGACUAUGGGCGCAGAACCGCCGAGUCCCUCCUUUACUAACUCUGACUUUAACUCACCGAGUCCCUUUCCCACUCACUGACUCUCUCUGAACUCGUAGGUCGAAGAAAAAAGGGGACUCACGACUCGACUCGUCGAGUCUGAAGAACAACUCGCCGAGUCCUGCCGUGCAUAUUCCAAACAAACGAAUUCAAAACUAUUCCAGAGCAUCUGACUUGAAGAUCUGAGCCCUUGGAACUAUCUAAACACGUGAAGUUUCUAACUUUACGUGCAACUAAGAAGGAAUGAAGCUAUUUCACUCAAACACUACUUUUCUUGGGAAAACUCAUCCGACUCGCCGAGUUGUAUGAACAACUCGUCGAGUCUAAGGUGAUCUUCAUCGGACUCGCAGAGUUGCUCAUCAAACUCGUCGAGUCUACGACUAUCUUCAUAUGACUCGCCAAGUCACACAUGCGACUCGCCAAGUCCAUUCAGUCCCUUUUUCCAUACAGACCUGAUUUGGGCCAUGCAGUGGCUCCAAAUCACAGAUCCAAGAUUCUAGGGCAUGCUUAUCACGUAAAUUUGCAAACUUUACGUGCAUGCAUGGCUUUAAAGGCUUCAAAUGCCAACCCUAAGCUCUUAAUGGGGUUCCAAGCUCAAGAGGGACCUCAAUCACGACCAUAACCGAAACUUUACUCUUCUAGAAUGCAAUGAGAGUCUAGAUCUGAUGUUUCCAUAAAAGGGGAAGUCCAUCUCUCAAGUUUGAACCAUAAGAGGCUCCAAAGAGGGCAUAACAAGCAUAUAUGAGGUUAUAAUGGGGGAAUGCACAAGGUCAUAACUUCAUUACCUGAAUGAAAAACAGAUGUAAGCUAACUCCUAGAUUUUCCUUCCCUUCUAUGGACCUUCCUUCCUUCCCAAAGCUUCCAAGCUAUCACAAAUACCCUCAAACUCAACAAUGGGGCUAGGGUUUACAAGGGAAAUGUUAUGAGAGUGAUAGAGGCGAGGUUGGGGGCGCAUAAGUGUGUUUAAAUAGGGUGAAAACCCUUAAAAUUAGGGCUUCAUCCAGACAGGCGGACUCGCCGAGUCCAACGUAUGGACUAGUCGAGUAGCCAUCUCAAAACGCGUGAUCGUCCCGUCUCUACUUGACGAGUCAGGCUACAGACUCGUCGAGUACCCCUUCAGAAAUGAAAAUACUUUAUUUGAAUUACAUACCAGAAAUGGGGCGUUACAACUCUCCCCCACUUAUCUUAGACUUUGUCCUCGUAGUCUGCUGCUGCUGCUGAAAAUAACUCUGGGUAAUGCUCCCUCAUCUCCUACUCGGACUCCCACGUCCACUCUGAACCCUUUCGGUGCUGCCACAACACCUUCACUAGCUGAACCACCUUGUUCCUCAAGGUCUUCGUCUUCCAAUCUAUGAUCGCAACUGGUCUCUCGAUAUAAUUCAGGCUGCUAUCAACCUGAAUAUCCUCCAAGGGUACAACUGCUGACUUGUCCACCAAACACUUUCGCAACUGGGAAACAUAGAAAGUGUUGUGGAUCUGGCUAAGCUCUACCGGAAGAUCCAACCGAUAAGCAACCCGACCCACCCGGACCAAAACCCUAAAAGGGCCAAUGAACCUGGGACCCAGCUUGCCUCUCUUCCGAAACUUGAUAACACCCUUCCAAGGUGAUACCUUCAGGAGGACCAUAUCGCCCACCUGAAACUCCAAGUCCGAACGCCUCUUGUCGGUGUAACUCUUCUGCCUACUCUGUGCAGUCUGCAGUCUACUACGAACCUGCUGGAUCAACUCUGUGGUCUUGAGCACCAUUUCAGUGCUCCCAAUGACUCACUGACCAACCUCGCCCCAACAAAUCGGAGUCCUGCACUUCCUUCCGUAUAGCAUCUCGAAAGGAGGACGUUUAAUACUAGUGUGGUAACUAUUGUUAUACGGAAAUUCCGCUAGUGGGAGAUACGUAUCCCAACUACCACCGAAGUCUAGAACACAUGCCCGGAGUAUGUCCUCGAGAGUCUGAAUUGUCCUCUCACUCUGCCCGUCCGUCUGGGGGUGGAAGGCGGUGCUAAAAUGAAGACGAGUCCCCAUCUCGUCAUGAAACUGCUUCCAAAAUCUGGAAGUAAAACGGACGUCUCGGUCUGACACUACCGAAACAGGCACUCCGUGCUGUGCUACUACCUCGCGUACAUAGAUGUGGGCUAGCUUCUUAGCCGAUAUGCUCUCCUAGAUCGGUAUAAAAUGUGCGCUCUUGGUCAGCCGAUCCAUUAUGACCCAAAUCGAAUCCACUCCCCGUGCGGUCCUGGGAAGCUUGGUGACAAAAUCCAUGGUAAUGUCCUCCCAUUUCCAUAUGGGAAUAUCUAACGGCAGCAUCUUGCCGUGGGGUCUCUGGUGCUCUGCCUUGACCUUCCUGCAGGUCAGGCAUCUCCCCACAUUCCAGGCGACAUCCUGCUUCAUGCAGGGCCACCAAUAGUCGGGUCGAAGAUCUCUGUAGAUCUUCGUUGCCCCUGGGUGGAUGGAAAAUCAAGAAUUAUGAGCCUCGUCCAUCAAUACCUGCCAUACUCCGCCCCAGUACAGUACCCAAACCCUCCCAUGGAGGGUCAACAAUCGUUAACUGUCAUAAUCAAAGGAAGCUACUCGGUCCACGAUUCUCUCACACUUCUGCCUCUCCUCCUUGAGGCCCUCGACGUGUGCCUCCCUGAUCUGCUCCAACAAGGGAGUAAUCACUGUCAUCCUCAAGCAUACAUCCCUGAUCGGGGCCGCUGCCGUCUUGUGGCUCAGGGCGUCGGCCACUACGUUGGCCUUCCCCGGGUGAUAAAGGAUCUCACAGUCGUAAUCCUUCACCACAUCUAACCACCGACGCUGCCGCAUGUUAAGAUUCGGCUGGUCCAUGAGGUACUUCAGACUCUUGUGAUCCGUGUAGAUGGUGCAACGGACCCCAUAGAGGUAGUGUCUCCAAAUCUUGAGGGCGAACACCACUGCCCCCAACUCCAAAUCAUGCAUCGGAUAGUUAGCCUCGUGAGACUUCAACUGUCUGGAGGCAUAAGCUAUCACAUGCCCCCGUUGCAUCAACACUGCCCCCAUAUCUGCGAUCGAGGCAUCACAGUAGACUACAAAAUCAUCCACUCUCUCCGGCAAGGUCAGAAUCGGUGCCUCGCACAAUCGCUGUCUGAGAGUCUCGAAAGUCGCCUGCUGCUCAGGCCCCUAACGAAACACCACCGACUUCUUGGUUAGUCGGGUGAGUGGAACUGCUAUCUUGGAGAAAUACUGAAUGAAUCUCCUGUAGUACCCUGCCAAACCUAGGAAGCUCUGAAUCUAUGAUGGAGACUUUGGGACCUCCCACUGCAUCAUGGCCUCUAUCUUGGCCGGAUCUACCAGUAUACCCUUCUGGUUGAUGAGGUGCCUAAGGAAUUGCACCUCGCGCAACUAGAACUCGCACUUGGAGAACUUUGCUAAAAGUUUCUCCCUCCUCAAGACCUCUAGCACCUCCCUUAGGUGCUCCUCGUGCUGCUCCUGAGUCUUGGAAUAAACCAAGAUGUCAUCGAUGAAUACAAUCACAGACCGGUCCAACAUCGGCAUGCACACGCGGUUCAUGAGUUCCAUGAACGCGGAUGGAGCGUUGGUGAGCCCAAACGACAUCACCACAAACUCAUAAUGACCAUAACGGGUCCUAAAAGUUGUCUUCUGAACAUCCUCACCCCUGACCCGCAUCUGAUGAUAACCGGAGCGCAAAUCAAUCUUGGAAAACCAAGACGCUCCUUGAAGCUAAUCGAACAAGGCAUCUAUCCUCGGAAGUGGGUAACGGUUAUUCACCGUUACCUUGUUCAACUCCCAGUAGUCUAUGCACAUACGGUGCGACCCAUCCUUCUUCUUCACAAACAAGAUUGGGGCUCCCCAUGGAGAACUAAUUAGUCUAAUGAAACCCUUGUCUAGCAGCUCCUGCAGCUGCGUAUACAACUCCUGCAUUUCUGGAGGAGCCAACCGAUACGGCGCCUUGGCUAUCGGAGCCGCACCAGGAACCAAGUCAAUCUUGAACUCAACCUGUCUCUCUGAAGGUAUCCCAGGUAAUUCCUCUGGGAAUGAGUCCGGGUACUCUCGCACCACUGCUACAUCAUCUACUGUCAUCGUACUCUUAUCCCGGGUAUCCAUCACAUAUGUGACAUAACCUGCUUAACCCUGUUGGAAGUAGCGCCUCACUCUCACUGCUGAACAAAGAAUCGGUCCGCGUUGUGGGCUCUCGCCCUGAAUCACUAACUCUCCCCCGUUGGGAGUGCGAACCCUCACUAGCUGCAAUUCGCAAUCAAUCAUCGCCCCAUUGGGGCUCAACCAAUCCAUGCUUACUAUGGCCUUGUUCCCUCGCAAAGGAAUAGGGACCAUGUCCACCGAAAACUGCUCAUCGAAUAACUGCAGUGAGCAUGCCUUAUGCACCCUCGUGACCCUGACGGUCCUAUCAUCGGCUAUCUCCACCUCGAGUGGACAAUCCAGCUCCCUAGGAUCUCUGCUAAACCUCUUGCUAAGUGCAAGAGAGACAAACGAUCGGGUAGCCCCUGAAUCAAAUGACACUGUAGCUGAAAUGUCGUUCACUAAGAACGACCCUAUACAUAAACAUAUAACAUUAGAAACAAUCAAUAAUCAAUGCAUAGAUAAAAGGAAAAUACAUACCCGUCACCACGUCAGGAGUCGCUCGCGCCUCCUCUGCUGUUAUCUGAAAAGCUCUACUCUUCGCCACUGGCACCUCGGCCCGCCCCUGACGACCGUUCGUAAUCCUCAAUGUAGCAGGGGCAGGUGCCGACACCUUCCCUGCUGCUGCUAAGCUUGGGCACUGGGACUUUUUAUGUCCCCUCUGAUUGCAAUGGAAGCAAAUCAGAUCUGAUGCUGCGGUAGCUGUGGUAGAAACUGUACAAUCUCUGCUCAUAUGCCUAGUCCAACCGUACUUGUAGCAGCCGGAACUCCCUGCCUUGCACGCCCCAUCGUGUAAUCUCCCACACUUGCCACACCGACUGUGGCUCUGCUGACCUCUGGACCUAUGAUCCGAAACCUUGGGCUUCUUGCCCAAACUCCCUGUACCCGAAGCCGCCUCCGCCUUCCUCUUAUUCUCCAUCUCAAGAUCAAUCUCUCUCUCUCUCUCUCUCUCUCUCGCCCUUGCAAUCAUAUCAUCCAGCAUCUUACAGCUGGAUCGGCUCACAAACUGGCGGAUAUCACUCCGCAGCGUCUCAUGAUAACGGGCCUUCUUCAUUUCCUCGUCAGCUGCGUACUGAGGAACAAGAAGAGCCCUCUCCCUGAACUUGGCGGUAAUCUCCGCCACUGUCUCUAUAGUCUGAGUAAGGUCUUGAAACUCUCUAGCUAACUGUUGCACCUCAAUAGUCGGUGCGAACUCGGCUCUGAACCUGGUGGUAAAAUCAGCCUAAGUCAUAGUAUCAAGUGCUAUGUCAUCCCUGAUACCAUGCCCAACCUCCUCCCACCAGUCACAUGCCCUAUCCUUCAGGAGACAGGAUGCUAAUCUGACCUUGUCCCCUUCGGGACAUCUGCUAGUGCGGAACACGUUGGCAACAUCUGCCAACCACCUAGUGCUCGCAAUGAGGUCCCGCACCCCAUGAUAGCCUGGAGCUCCACAAGCCCGAAACUCCCUGAAGGUGAGUGUGCGCGACCCCAUCAUGGCCGCCAUCUCAGCACGAAAUGUGCUCAACUUCUCAUCCAUCAACUCCAAGAUACCCUCCUUGAUCGAACCGAAGAUCACAGGACUCUGCUCAAGUAUGAUACGGGUAACCUCUGAAGUGAAAAACUCCCUAGUUUGCUCAUCCAACUGCUCGGCCCCCCAGCCUGAUCCUGAUCCUUCCUCGGCACCUGAGCUGCCGACUGCUGGCCUAGGGCGUAAAACCACCAUUCUGAAAACACAUCAUGAUAAACGUCAAAAACACUGAUAUAUCUCUAGGGAUCGCUACUACUAUAGGUUUCCUGGUCUCGCCUCUGCCUUCCUUGAUUCAAGUACAAAUCCUCAACAAAAACCAGUCCUCAACUGCUGAAGGCCUCCUUGUAAUGCCAAUUAGUCAUCACCUGAAUAUCAUCACAUGUGACGAGACUCAGAUAAUCCUUCGAGUAAAAGACUCAUUCCUACAACGGAUGGACUCAAACAAGAGCUGCGCAGUAGAGCCAAAUCCAGCACUCUGAGAUUAUUCAACCCUGAUCUCAGGCGAUGUGUCGUAUUCACCUAAUGGUUAACUCUCAUUACCCGGAGUCUCAUAAAGCACAAAGCAAGCAGCAUUCGGACACAGGAAACUAAUCAAGCCACUCUAUUCUCAUAACAAGAAAUUGUACUAGCAUACAAUGUUAAGCUCGUACUGUCAGGCAUAACCUAAACAGGCUAUCCUACUGCUGUCUACUCAAUACUAGCAUGCAGUUCUCAUAAAGCUGAAGCACAUAUAGCAUGCACAUAAGGCAUCCUGCUAGAUCCUUAGUCCUAUUCUAGCAUGCUGUUCUACUGAAACUAAAACUGAUAAUCAUAACAUAAACUUGUAUGGGUAAUUUAGGGGUACUUACUUGAGCUCGACUGAUCGCAUGCACCACACCCUUUUCUCGUUUUCAAAACUCUUUUCUUUUUAAGUCUCUUUCUCAAAAGUUCUUUUGAACACAUUUUUCUUUCGAAAAUCUUUUUUCUAUUUCCUCAGUUUGAGUUCAGUUACACCCGUAAGUGUGUCUGAAUCCCUCAAACCAAGGCUCAGAUACCAACUUGAAAUAACCCAAAAUACAACCCAAUUUUUUUUUGUUAAAAAAAUACUAAAGAUAUCAACCAUCAUAAUAUAUCAUGAAAUCGUACGUCAUAAAUCCCCAAAAAGUUAUAAUAGAUGUGUCAUGACAAAAGAGUUGUAUCAACAUAACAUAGUAUCUAAAAUAAACUCCCAUGACAAAAGCUGAAACUGUGGUGUGUGCAAUGCCGUCAUCCCGAGCUCUUCCCUUUGCUUGCGGAAGUACCUGAAACCAAAACUGAAACUGUAAGCACAAAGCUUAGUGAGCUCCCCCAAACUACCACAUACCAUACAAUCAUAUAAAACACAUAUUGGGCCUUGCCCACUGCAUCGGACCGAAGUCUAGAAAAUGCAUCGGACCGAAGUCCGGAACUAACCAGGGCCUUGCCCUCUGCAUCGGACCAAAGUCCAGAACUGCAUCGGACCGAAGUCUGGAAACUAACCAGGGCCUCGCCCUCUGCAUCGGACCGAAGUUCGGAACUAACUGCAUCCAACCGAAGUCCGGAAUUGUCUGAACAUAACAUAUCAUAAACAUCUCAACUAGCAUGAACACAUAAACUGCAUACCGCAUCGGACCGAAGUCCGAAACACAUAACACAAAUACAUGCUUGAAUCACAAAGACAUCAAGCAUUCUAACUACUGCAACGGACAGAGGUCCGGAACUUCUGCUAACUAAACGGGCCGGCAUUGUGGCCGUAGACCCGUUCCUACUGGAAGGAAAACUCACCUCGUAAUGUUGGCUGCUGAGAUGCAAACUCUAAAAGUGGCUGACCGCUGCUCCGGAACUGUCCGACUACAAAUCCCAGAAACACUAGAUUAGUUACUUGCAUAUACCCUCAGGGUAAGAUGACUAUUUUGCCCCCGGUCAAAGUCAACUUCUAGUUGACCGGACUCACCGAGUCAGGGCGCAGACUCGCCGAGUCCCUCCUUUACUAACUCUGACUUUAAUUCACAGAGUCCCUUUCCCACUCACUGACUCUCUCUGAACUCGUAGGUCGAAGAAAAAAGGGGACUCACGACUCGACUCGUCGAGUCUGAAGAACAACUCGCCGAGUCCUGCCGUGCAUAUUCCAAACAAACGAAUUCAAAACUAUUCCAGAGCAUCUGACUUGAAGAUCUGAGCCCUUGGAACUAUCUAAACACGUGAAGUUUCUAACUUUACGUGCAACUAAGAAGGAAUGAAGCUAUUUCACUCAAACACUACUUUUCUUGGGAAAACUCAUCCGACUCGCCGAGUUGUAUGAACAACUCGUCGAGUCUAAGGCGAUCUUCAUCAGACUCGCCGAGUUGCUCAUCCAACUCGUCAAGUCUACGGCUAUCUUCAUAUGACUCUCUGAGUCACGCAUGCGACUCGCCGAGUCCAUUUAGUCCCUUUUUCCAUACAGACCUGAUUUGGGCCAUGCAUUGGCUCCAAAUCACAGAUCUAAGCUUCUAGGGCAUUCUUAUCACGUAAAUUUGCAAACUUUACGUGCAUGCAUGGCUUUAAAGGCUUCAAAUGCUAACCCUAAGCUCUUAAUGGGGCUCCAAGCUCAAGAGAGACCUCAAUCAUGACCAUAACAGAAACUUUACUCUUCUAGAAUGCAAUAAGAGUCCAGAUCUAAUGUUUCCAUAAAAAGGGGAAGUCCAUCUCUCAAGUUUGAACCAUAAGAGGCUCCAAAGAGGGCAUAACAAGCAUAAAGGAGGUUAUAAUGGGGGAAUGCACAAGUUCAUAACUUCAUUACCUGAAUGAAAAAUAGAUGUAAGCUAACUCCUGGAUCUUCCUUCCCUUUUAUGGACCUUCCUUCCUUCCCAAUGCUUCCAUGCUAUCACAAAUACCCUCAAACUCAACAAUGGGGCUAGGGUUUACAGGGGAAAUGUUCUGAGAGUGAUAGAGGCGAGGUUGGGGGCGCAUAAGUGUGUUUAAAUAGGGUGCAAACCCUUAAAAUUAGGGCUUCAUCCAGACAGGCGGACUUGCCGAGUCCAGCGUAUGGACUCGUCGAGUAGCCAGCUCAAAACGUGUGAUUGUCUCGUCUCUACUCGACGAUUCGGGCUACAGACUCAUCGAGUACCCCUUAAUAAAUGAAAAUACUUUAUUUGAAUUACAUACCAAAAAUGGGGCAUUACAUAAUGCUUAGCCCAGAAACACGGACGUUACACUUCUCUCCUCCUUAGGAUGAUGCCAUCCCCAGAAUCAUACAUCAACAAACUAAUGCGGAUAGCGACUCAUCAUGUCACUCUCCAUUUCCUAGGUGAGAUUUGACUCAUUCGUAUGUUUCCGUCGCACAAGUAGUAAGUCAACCAUCUUGUGACGCAACUUCUUCGUCUUAUGGUCAACAAUCGCCUCCGGUUCUUCAACUAGCCUCUUAUUUUCAUCCAUCCUUAGCUCAUAAAUUAGAAUUAUGUCAGGAACUUCUCCCAUGAAUUUCCUCAAAUAACUCACAUGGAAAGUGUUAUGAAUAAUGUCUAGUUCUUCUGGUAGUUCUAGCUUGUAGGCUUGGUUCCCAAUCCUCUGAAGAACUUUGAACGGUCCAAUGAAUCUUGGACUUAACUUCCCUUUUUCCCGAAUCUUAUAAGUUCCUUGUAGCACCUGGUUCCUGGUAUGUAAUUUAUUUAAAUAUUUUGCAUUUUUGGCCUUGGACUCGGCAAGUUGAAGGACCAACUUGCCGAGUAGAAGCGGGAUGGGACGUGGGAUUUAAGUGAUGGACACGUCGAGUCGGGUCCCGGACUCGACGAGUAGGCUCUGACUGAAAAACCCUAAUCCGAGGGUUUGCACCCUAUUUAAUCAUCUCAUUUUCCCCUAAUGCUCCCAGAAACCCUCCCUAGUAAACCCUAAGUGUUUUGGUGCAAGAUCUAAGGCUUUUGAGUGAUUUUUGUGGGUUUUGACCUCAAGGAAUAAGGAAGAGCAUAGAAGGAUCAAGAGGAGACUGAAGGAUUAGAGUUUGGUGCAUCAUUUUCAGUCCUUGAAAGGUAUAAAUUAUGUACCUUGCUUGUUCAUUUGUUAGAUCCUUUUUUGGGGAAGAUUUAGGGCUUCUUAAGUCAUAUGAGGUGGCCAAACAUGGUUGGGGGUCAAGACUUCGGAUCUAAGUCUUGGAAGGAGUCCCAAAGCAGAUUUGGGUUGCUUUUGCACCCAAGGAAGGUCCCAUGCAACAUAAGAGCCAUUUUAGAGCCUUUUUGGGUCAAAAGUCCCAUGCAUGCACGUAAAGUUCGAAACUUUACGUUCUAGAUCGAGCUUAGGGCUUGGAUCUAUCUUUUUGUCAAAGGUUGUACAUCAGAAAUCGAGGAUUUAGGGUGUGGAUGUUAUCGAAUCGGCGAGUCAGUUCUUGGGACACGACGAGUCCAAAGCAUAGGGUCUGUUAUCUGUUGAGGGUCAAAAGAACCCAGUUGGGUGUUAGAAGGGUUGUAGAAGGUCCGAGAGAGUGACCCAACGUGUUGGACUUAGCCUUAGACUUGGAAUUCAUGGGACUCGUCGAGUGCUAGAACAGACUCGGCGAGUCCAAGGCAAUCUCCUUAUCGAUGAAGAUGAACUCGACGAGUUGUUCAUACAACUCGGCGAGUCGGGGUCAGGACUUGUUCAUCAGAUGAAGGUGAACUCGACAAGUGUUCAUCCGACUCGGCGAGUCGGAUGAAGGUUCAUUGAUGUUCGUAAAGAAAGGGAACUCGUCGACUUGUUGCCAAACUCGACGAGACGAGUCGUGGAUAAGGACGAGUAAAGGAAAGGGACUCGACGAGUUNAACUCGGGGAGUCGGGUCAACUGGAAGUUGACUUUGACUUGGACUUGGUUGGGGGUAAAAUAGUCAUUUUACCCCAAGAGUAGAUAUUAGUUUUCUGACUGAGUAUUUUGUGGGGAUUAUAGCCGGAGGAUUUCCGAAGCAACAGCAGGCAGAGGUUUCCUGCACAUAUUAUCAGCAGCUACUUGUUCGAGGUGGGUUGCCUACCAGUAGCGGUGGGUCUACGACCACAAUGUCGGCCCACCAAUAGGAGUUGUAUAAUUAUAUGAUUGUCUUUGUGAUAUCAUCUAGGUUGCUUCUACCUGAUAUGUUAUAUGCUGGCAUGAUAUGUUAUAUGUGAUAGUAGUAGAGUUCGGUUGUUAGGACCGAAGGGUAGGUCAAACACCCCAGAUAUGUAUGACAGUAUGUGAUGAUAUGUUUAUAUGCCGACAUGACAUGUUAUAUGGGAUAGUGGUAGUAGGAGGGGAACAGUCCCCAAGUUCGGUUGUUAGAACCGAAGGGUAGUUCAGACACCCCAGAUAUGUCUGAUAGUAUGUUUAUGUUAUGAUAUAUGUGAUAGUAGUGGUACGUGUGGAAUAGUCCCCGAGGGUCGGUCUUUAGGACUGACGGGUAGGUCAGCACCCCAAAAAGACUUGACAGGGGUAGGACGACACCCCAGAAUGGCCGCACGGGUAGGUCGGCACCCCAGAAUGGCCGUACCGGGUAGGCCGGGCACCCUAGAAUUGCCUGGCAGUAUGUAUGCUAUGUGAUUGUAUGGUAUGUGGUACGAUGGGGGAACUUACUAAGCUUCCUGCUUACAGUUUACAGUUUUGGUUUCAGGUACCUCUUCAACAAAGGGGAAGGAGCUGGCGCGGUAGCGGCACAUCAUACACACAUGUUGGUUUCCGCACUAGUGUUUCUUGGGUCGUUACAAGUUGGUAUCAAAGCCCUGAUCUGAGGGAUUCGGACACACCUUGGGGGUGUCUGGACUCAAAUCGAGGGAUUAAAAGACUUUUACAAGAAAAAUGGUUUCUUAAAAGCUAAGAUAAAAGAGUUUUGGGAAAGAACAAAGUGUGUGAUGUGCGCGACCGGCCGAGCUCAAGUAAGUAUUCCCCAAAGUACCCAUACAAGUUUAUGUUAUGUUUAUCAGUUUCAGUAGAAUAGCAUGCUAGAAUAGGACUGAAGAUCUAGGAAUGAUGGCUUAUGUGUCUGCUUUAUGUGCUCCAGCUUAUGAGAAUUGCAUGCUAGUAUUAAGUAGAAAAUAAUAGGAUAGUCUGUUUAGGUUAUGCCUGGUAUUAUGAGCUCAGCAUUGUAUGAUGGUACAACUUCUCGUUAGGAGAAUAGAGUUGUUUGAGUAGUUUCCUGUGUCCGAAUGAUGCUUGCUCAGUGCUUGUAGGACUCUGAAUGAUGGCCGUUAGCCAUUAGGUGAGUACGUCGCGUCGCAUGUCAUUAGGAUUGAAUAAUCUCAGAGUGCUGGAUUUGGCCCUAUUGCGCGGCUCUCGUUUGAGUCUAACCGUUGUAGGGACGAGUCUUUUACUUGAAGGAUUAUCUGAGCCUUGUUACAUGUGAUGGUAUUUAGGUGAUGGCUAAUUGAUAUCACAAGGAGGCCUUCAACAGCCGAGGACCGGUUUGGGUAGAGUCAGAGAUUUUCCCUAGGGUAAGCCUACGAUGAGAGUAGCAGAGAUCAGCAGUGGAAAAAGGGACUUGGUGGAGUCGAGGCCGUCCUUGAGGAAAGUACGGAUAGAUAUGGAAGGUAGUAUGGGCCCGUACUACAGAAAGCAGAGGAUCCGUACUCGAAUUAAGGAAGGCUAAGGCAAGACCAAGGAACUUGUGAUGGGUGUGAUCCCUAUAGAUGUACUAGUAUCACUGACGGAUGUCAUGAUGUAUUGCGGAAUGGUGGUACUAAGGCCAAGGCCAGCAGUGGGUAGCUCAGGAGAGGGAUCGGGUUCGGGUUCAGGCUCCGAACCAGUGGACGAGAGGCUACGCGAGUUCAUCGCGUCUAAGAUCACUAUAGGCAUCCUUGAUGCGACCCCGAUCAUCUUUGGGUCGAUCAAGGAAGGGAUUGUUGAGCUGAUGGAGGAUCGCCUUAGGGCGCUCAGGAGUGACAUGGCGACCAGCCAGUCAGGAUCCCGCAUACUAUCCUUUAAGGACUUCAGGGGCAGUGGCGCGCCGGACUUCCACGGGGAAAAGGACCCCAUUUCUGCUAGACGAUGGAUUGCGGACAUGGAGUCUGCACAGCUGACAAGCUUCUGCCCCGAGGGGCCGAAGGUGAGAUAUGCAGCAGGGUGUUUGAGAGACAGAGCUAGAGAUUAGUGGGAGUCUGUUGUUGACUCCUUGGGAGCCUCGGCUGUUGAGGCUAUGACCUGGUUAGACUUUGUGACCAGAUUCAGGGCGGAGUUUGCGCCAGCUGUAGAGCUUCAGCAGCUGGCCAGAGAGUUUUUGGAUAUGAGACAGACUACGGAGACUGUGGCGGAGAUCACCGCCAACUUCUGGGAGAGGGCAUUGCUUGUGCCCCAGUAUGCGGGAGAUGAGGACAUGAGGAUGACCCGCUAUCAUGACAUGCAGCGAGCCGAAAUUCGGGAGCAUGUUAGUUUUUCAGCUUGCCCUACCCUAGAUUCCAUGAUUUCCAGAUCAAGGGAGAGGGAGAUCGAUCUAGAACAUGUCCAGAAGAGGAAGGUAGAGGAGGGGCAGACGAUUGGGGCUUCGGAGAAGAAGCCUAAGGGAUCAGAUGGUAGGCCGAAAGGCCAGUCAGGACCAGGCCACUGCAGGAAAUGCGGCAGGCCACAUGAGGGGGCGUGUAGAUUGGGAUUGUCGGGCUGCUACAAGUUCGACAAGACGGGGCAAUUCAGCAGAGAUUGUACCGCCCCUACACCAGUUAUUCAGACGUCUGAGUUGCUGUGUUUUCAAUGCAACCAGAGGGGCCACAAGAAAGACAACUGCCCCCAGUUAACAGCAGCAACAGUGCCAGUGAAGGCGCCAGGUCUAGCGACCCUGCGAAUUACUGAUGACUGGAAGGCCAAGGCUGAGGCUCCAGUGGUGAGGAGUCGGGCCUUCCAGUUGACUACCGAGGAGGCACGCGCUGCACCCGAUGUGGUAACAGGUAUGACUUCUUGUUUAUGCUUUUAUGAUAUGCUGCUGUGAUUUUGAUAUGUUAUGUAUGUGCUCUGUUUAGGAUCGUUCCAUGUGAACGGUAUCCCAGUUCAAGUAUUGUUUGAUUCGGGUGCUACCCGAUCAUUUGUCUCUCUUGCGCUUAGCAAGAAGUUUCCUGAGUCUUCGGGCAUGUUGGAUUGCCCUUUAGAGGUUGAGAUUGUAGACGACAGGUCGGUACGAGCAUUAGAGGUCUUCCGAGAUUGUGUUUUGAGGUUGUUCGAGGAGCGUUACAUGGUAGACUUGAUUCCCAUACCCUUGCGGGGGAACAAGGUUAUUAUCGACAUGGAUUGGUGGAGCCCCAAUAGGGCGGUGAUAGAUUGCGCACAAUAGUUGGUGCGAGUCAGGACCCCAGGAGGGGGAGAUUUAGUGAUUUAGGGUGAGAGCCACAGCGAGGGCCAACCUUAUGUUCGGCAACGAGGACAAGGCGUUACCUUCAGCAGGGUUGCGCCGGAUAUGUCGCUUAUGUCAUGGACACCCGGGAGGAGGGAAAGGCGACAGUGGGCAAUGUGCCUGUGGUACGAGAGUUUGCGGACGUAUUCCCCGAGGAGUUGCCUGGGAUACCUCUGGAACGAUAGGUGGAGUUUAGGAUCGACCUAGUCCUUGGUGCGGCUCCGAUAGCCAAGGCACCGUAUCGGUUGGCUCCUCUUGAGAUGCAGGAGUUGUCUACACAGCCGCAGAAAGUAUUAGACAAGUGAUUCAUUAGACCUAGUAGUUCUCCCUGGGGAGCCCCGAUUCUGUUUGUGAAGAAGAAGGACGGGUCGCAUCGGAUGUGUAUAGAUUAUCGGGAGCUGAAUAAGUUAACGGUGAAGAACCGUUACCCACUCCCGAGGAUUGAUGACCUCUUUGACCAGCUACAGGGAGCAUCUUGGUUCUCCAAGAUUGAUCUGCGUUCAGGGUAUCAUAAGAUGAGGGUCAGAGAGGGGGAUGUACAGAAGAUAGCGUUCCGGACGCGCUAUGGCCAAUAUGAGUUCGUGGUGAUGCCUUUCGGGCUCACCAAUGCUCUUGCCGCAUUCAUGGAUCUCAUGAACCACGUGUGCAGACCAAUGUUGGAUCGGUCCGUGAUAGUUUUCAUCGAUGAUAUCUUGGUUUACUCCAAGACACAGGAGGAGCACGAGGAGUAUCUGCAAGAGGUUCUAGAGACUUUGAGAAGGGAGAACUUGUAUGUUAAGUUCUCCAAGUGUGAGUUCUGGUUGCGCGAGGUGCAAUUUCUCAGACACCUUGUCAACCAGAACGGGAUAUCGGUGGACUCGGCCAAAGUGGAGGCCGUGAUGAGAUGGGAGGUUCCAAGGUCUCCAUCCGAGAUUCAGAGUUUCCUAGGAUUAGUCGGCUACUAUCGGAGAUUCAUCCAUGAUUUCUCCAAGAUAGUCAUACCCCUGACCAGGCUAACGAGGAAAGUCGUGGUUUUUCGUUGGGGGCCUGAGCAGCAGGCCGCAUUCGAGACAUUGAGACAGAGAUUGUGUGAGGCACCAAUCUUAGCCCUAUCGGAGGGCAUAGAGAAUUUUGUUGUGUACUAUGACACGCCCAUUUCAGGUUUGGGCGCGGUACUGAUGCAGAGAGGGCAUGUCAUUGCCUACGCUUCGAGGCAGCUGAAGCUUCACGAGGCGAACUACCCGACGCAUGAUUUGGAGCUGGGGGCUGUUGUGUUCGCCCUUAAGAUUUGGCGUCAUUACCUCAAUAGGGUUCGCUAUACUAUCUACAUAAACCACAAGAGUUUGAUGUACCUCAUGGAUCAGCCGAAUCUAAACAUGAGGCAGCGUCGGUGGUUAGACGUGGUGAAGGAUUACGAUUACGAAAUCCUUUACCACCCGGGGAAGGCCAAUGUGGUGGCCGACGCACUUAGCCGCAAGGCAGCGCCGAUCAGGGAUAUUUGUCUGAGGAUGAUAGUGGUGACCCCGCUGUUGGAGCGGAUUCGGGAGGCCCAACGGGAGGCCAUGAAGGAGGAACAUCGGAAGAGCGAGCGGAUUGUGGGGCAAGUUUCCUCCUUCGAUUAUGAUAGCCGAGAGCUGUUGACACUACACCGUAGGGUGUGGGUGCCGUACCACGGGGGUGUACGCCAGGUUCUGAUGAAGGAGGCGCACAAAUCUCGAUUCUCCAUUCAUCCCGGGGCGACGAAGAUGUACAAGGACCUUCUUUUGGACUAUUGGUGGCCCUGCAUGAAGCUGGAUGUAGCAUGGUAUGUGGAGUGGUGCUUGACCUGUAGGAAGGUCAAGGCCAAGCACCAGAGGCCACAUGGAAAGAUGCAGCCGUUGGAUAUCCUGCUGUGGAAAUGGGAAGACAUUACGAUGGAUUUUAUCAUAAAGCUUCCUAGGAUCGCUCGGGGAGUGGAUUCGAUAUGGGUCAUCGUCGAUCGAUUAACCAAAGAGCGCCCAUUUUAUUCCGAUCCAGGAGGGAAUUUUGGCCGAAAAGUUGGCCAACAUCUAUAUCAGGGAGGUGGUGGUGCGGCACAGGGUGCCGGUAUCGGUGAUUUCAGACAGGGACGUGCGGUUCACUUCCAGGUUUUGGAGGAAGUUUCAUGACGAGCUGGGUACUCGUCUGUAUUUUAGCACCGCCUUUCACCCACAGACGGAUGGUCAGAGCGAUCGGACCAUCUAGACAUUAGAGGAUAUGCUGCGAGCAUGUGUUUUAGACUUCGGAGGUAGCUGGGAUACCUACCUUCUGUUGGCGGAAUUCUCGUAUAAUAAUAGCUAUCAUACGAGUAUUAACCGUCCUCCCUUCAAGAUGUUAUACGGGAGGAAGUGCAGAACCCCAAUAUGUUCGGGUGAGGUUGGCCAGAGGGUCAUGAGGAGCAUCGAGGUGGUGCUCAAGAUGACAGAGAGGAUUCAGCAGGUCCGGAGCAGACUUCAGACUGCUCAGAGUCGGCAUAAAAGUAAUCUUGAUAAGCGCCGAUCAGACCUGGAGUUCCAGCUCAAGGAUAUGGUUCUCCUAAAGCUGUCGCCAUGGAAGGGCGUCAUCCGAUUUAGGAAACAGGACAAGUUGGGCGCCACGUACAUUGGACCGUUCAGAUUCUUAGCCCGGGUGGGCAAGGUAGCAUACAGGUUGGAUCUGCCAGCCGAACUCAGCCAGAUCCACAACACUUUCCACGUCUCCCAGCUGCAGAAGUUUCUGGUGGACGACUCAGCAGCGGUACCCUUAAAAGAUAUUCAGGUCGAUGACAGCUUGAAUUACAUUGAGCGGCCAGUAGCGAUCCUCAACCGGAAGUCGAAGGAACUGAGGAACAAGAGGGUUGAACUAGUGAAGGUGCAAUGGCAACAUCGGAAGGGCUCAGAAUGGACUUGGGAGCCAGGGGAGGAGAUGAUCGAGCAUUACCCAGAGUUGUUCCAGGAACGAACAGCAGACUUCGAGGACGAAGUCUAAAAUAAGUGGGGGAGAUUUGUAGCACCUGGUUCCUGGUAUGUAAUUUAUUUAAAUAUUUUGCAUUUUUGGCCUUGGACUCGGCGAGUUCAAGGACCAACUCACCAAGUAGAAGCGGGAUGGGACGCGAGAUUUAAGUUAUGGACUCAUCGAGUCAGGUCCUGGACUCGACGAGUAGGCUCUGACUGGACAAAAACCCUAAUCUGAGGGUUUGCACCCUAUUUAAUCAUCUCAUUCAGCCACCACUCUACCCUAAUGCUCCCAGAAACCCUCCCUAGUAAACCCUAAGUGUUUUGGUGCAAGAUCUAAGGCUUUUUGAGUGAUUUUUGUGGGUUUUGACCUCAAGGAAGAAGGAAGAGCAUAGAAGGAUCAAGAGGAGACUGAACAAUUCGAGUUUGGUGCAUCAUUUUCUGUCCUUGAAAGGUAUAAAGUCUGUACCUUGCUUGUUCAUUUGUUAGAUCCCUUUUUGGGGAAGAUUUAGGGUUUUUUAAGUCAUAUGAGGUGGCCAACCAUGAUUGCAAACAUGGUUGGGGGUCAAGACUUCGGAUCUAAGUCUUGGAAGGAGUCCCAAAGCAUAUUUGGGUUGCUUUUGCACCCAAGGAAGGUCCCAUGCAACAUAAGAGCCAUUUAGAGCCUUUUUGGGUCAAAAGUCCCAUGCAUGCACAUAAAGUUCGAAACUUUAUGUGCUAGAUCGAGCUUAGGGCUUGGAUCUAUCUUUUUGUCAAUGGUUGUACAUCAGAAAUCAAGGAUUUAGGGUGUGGACGUUAUCGACUCGGCGAUUCCGUUCUUGGGACUCGACAAUUCCAAGGCAUAGAGUCCGUUAUCUGUUGAGGGUCAAAAGAACCCAGUUGGGUGUUAGAAGGGUUGUAGAAGGUCCGAGGGAGUAACCCAACGUGUUGGACUUAGCCUUAGACUCGGAAUUCAUGGGACUCGUCGAGUGCUAGAAUAGACUCGGCGAGUCCAAUGCAAUCUCCUUAUGGAUGAAGAUGAACUCGACGAGUUGUUUAUACAACUCGACGAGUCGGGGUCAGGACUUGUUCAUCAGAUGAAGGUGAACUCGACAAGUGUUCAUCCAACUUGGCAAGUCGGAUGAAAGUUCAUUGAUGUUCGUAAAGAAGGGGAACUCGUCGACUCGUUGCCAAACUCGACGAGUCGAGUCGUGGAUAAGGACGAGUAAAGGAAAGGGACUCGACAAGUAGAUGACCCAACUCGGUGAGUUGGGUCAACUGGAAGUUGACUUUGACUUGGACUUGGUUGGGGGUAAAAUAGUCAUUUUACCUCAAGAGUAGAUAUCAGUUUCUGACUGAGUGUUUUGUGGGGAUUAUAGCCGGAGGAUUUCCGGUGCAGCAGCAGGCAGAGGUUUUCCAAACAGAUUAUUAGCAACUACUUGUUCGAGGUGAGUUACCUACCAAUAGCGGUGGGUCUACGGCCACAAUGUCGGCCCACCAAUAGGCACUACUAGAAAAAAGGCGUUUUACGAUGCUCAUUGCGCGUCGUAAAACGCUCAGACAACGCGAAAAUGCGUGUCAAGGAAGGCCCUGUCAUAACGAGAGACGACACGCAUUUACGACACGCAUUUACGACGCUCAUUUACGACACGCAAUGCGUAUCAAGGAAGGCCAUGUCAUAAAGGAUGACGACACGCAUUUGAGUGUCGUAACCUUACGACACGCGUUUAGGACAUGCAUUGUGUAUCAUUAAAGCCCCUGUCAUAAAUGAAGAUGACACGCAUUUGCGUGUCAUAAUCUUCAGCAACCAUUUACGAUAUGCAUUUACGACACGUCUUUACGAUACACAUUUACGCAAAAUACAAAAAUAUGGAAAUAAAUAUAUAACAAAACAAUCAAUUUCAUUCAUUAACAUCAUGUCAAAAAAUUGUAAUACAUAGCGGAAGUAUUUGUUGAGAGCCCAAAAAGUUACAUAAAUCAAUGAAAGUAAAAUUCAUAACUUUUCUAGUUUUCAUAAUCCUAACAAUAGCUGCAUCAACCUGCGAUAUAUUUAUAAAAAAAAUGUGAUUAUAAAUUUAUAAUUACAAAAAAAAAUAAAGCAAAAAAAAAUUGGACCUGAUAUUGACGAUCUUGGGAAACUCUCUCUGUGGUGCUUGCGUUUUCUUCCACAGUUUCCUUCAGCUGGAUAUCAUUCACAUGUACAUGGAAUGGAAUGGAAUAAUGAAAUAAGCAAAGGAAUGGAAUGAGUCAUUCCAUUCCAAUUUCAUAUGAACUUCACAUUAUAAAAAAUUAAUUGAUCUCACCUUUAUACGAUAAAGAGGAGCAGUAAAUACAUCAUUAAACAUGAAGGAAUCAUUGUCAUCCACAUCAGUUUGAACCUAUUCUUUUGUCUCCUUUUCUUCUUUCUCUUUCCCUUGUUCUUUUUUGUCUUGUAUCUUUUCAAGUGGUUGGUACAACAAUAGAGGUAACGGGACAUGUGCCAGUAUUGGGUCCUGAAGAUCUUGUUGCUUUUGUGCUAAGUGUUUUGUGAUUGAGAAGCAAAUGGUCACAAAUUGCAUAUGGGUUCUGGACAUGCAAAUAAACUUAACUAUCGAUCACAUAACAAAAGCAAAUGAAAGUAUGAUGUUAUAAUAAACAAUUCAAAUGCUAAUACCUUUGACAUGUUUGUAUCUACAACAUUUUGGGAGCUUUCGAUGCUUCGAAGAAUUAAAAGUAUUGAAAUAACCUCUUCCUUCUUUAGACUAUUAUGAGGCUUCCCAUCUUCACAAUCACCACCAAUUGCCAACAUAGAAAGAAAUAAAUACAAUUUUCCGGAAAAUAAUAAAAAUUCAUAUAUAUUUUUUUCAUUCAAAGAAUCAAAAUCAACAGGUAUAGUAUGCAUUCAAUUUAUAUUUCAGGAAAAAAAAACUAAUAGUAUACCUACCUGUAUGUGGGUUCAUAGCAAGUUUUCUCUCUUGGAUAAAACAUUAUUUUUUUAUUUUAUUUAUACUAAAUGUUUUUUUUUAUAUUUUGAUAUAAUACAAAUUAAUUUAUGUUUUAGAUAAGCUCUCUUUUACUUNCCUGUCUUUUACUUAUUUACAUUGAAAAUUGACAAAUAGUUCUUUUUCCACAAAAACAGACAAACUAUCUACAAUGAGUUUUUUGCCCUUUGCCACUAUUUAAUCACCUUACCUUAGUUUUACACACAAAAUCCAAUAAUGGAAUAAUGCAUUGAACAUUACACAUUUGCAAAUAAGAUACACAUUAGCAAAAAAUGGUCUUAGCACUAACUUUCACCACCCACCCACCCGAUAACAAAAGAAAAUAUAAUCCGCCCACUCAGUUUCACUUUAUUUGCAAGUAAGUAUAAACAAUAAUAUUGCAGGGUUUUUUUUUCAGUAUGAAUGAGUAUUCAGUCACUAUUCAUCCAUACCUCUUUAAGUAGUUGAUACCAAAUGCUACCAUUAUUCAAUCUCCAUCUAGGGGUAGGGCUAGGUGUUGGUGUUGUUGGAGCAGAAGAAGCAUCAAUGAUAUUGAUAACAAUGAAAGGGGAACUCAAAUCAUCAAGUUCAUCAUCACUUGUGUUUGACUUUCUCAACACUGAUGAUCCAGUGCGACCCAAGUGUUUUAUACAUACAGCCACUCCCUCUCCUCCAACCAAAAUGGUUUUUAUUAUUGAUGAUGCUGAUGGCGGAUCAUAAACAACCGAACCAGCUACACAUGGGACACUGCUCACACAGUCUUCGCCACCCUCUGUAGAAUAUAAAGCCAAAAGAAACCUGUGUUUGUUUACUACUCAAAAUGAAGACAUAAAAGAAGAAAGGAAUAUGCAUUGUAUUGGAAAAAUGAAGACUAAAAACCUCUUAUAUUAUCCAUAUCAAUAAAGCUAUAUUUAUAGCUUCUUAGACACCCACGAUGAAGUAUGAAAACAAUCCAUGCUCUUGACUCCACCUAAUUAGCUUAAGAAUUAACUAUUAUAUAAAACAUAAAACACAAAACAAUAAUAAUUAUCAAAUCUAAAGUUUCAGCCAUGCACGUGAGCUAUGACUAACAAACCGAUUAACCCAACACCUUCCACCCCCAAAUCCUUAGCAUAUAUAAACAAACACCCUCUAAAUGCAUGUUAUUAGACAUACCAAAAUAUCUUUAAUUGGUUGGCUUGUGUGUCCUUCACAUCAACAUAAUUACUUAAUUAAUUAAUUAUACUGAACUCACCUCUGAGUCUAAGGCUUCAAGCACAACUUCAGGAAUAGCAUCUGGACAAAACUCAUCUGGAACAAAACUAUCUAGUAUCCCUUUUAUUAAUGCUACACCAAAACUCAAACAUACCUUCAAAAAAUUUUAAAUAACUUUAGCUUUGUGGAUAACUACACUACUAUAAAAGAAAAAGAGCCCAAUUUUAGAGACCUCUUUUCUGAUUGUGCUAUCUAACAACAUAUCCUUAGGAAGCAUCAUCAGGUCACUUAAUGCAUUCAGGAGAUGAAAAGAUUUGAAUGAUGAAUCAUCAGCAUCUAUAUCAAAUAAAUCAGUCAGCCACCUCGACCAAUUUUCAAUUUGCACAUUGCCAAAUGAACNNNNNNNNNNUAUAUAUAUAUAUAUAUAUAUAUAUAAAGGAUCACUUGCCAUGGGAAUUGGUCGCCUAUGAUUCAGAUCAGAGGCCUGGAAUCGUCAAGGUAGAAAACACAAGUCAAGAAAAAAAAUAAAAUAAGAGACUUUUAGGCAUAAAUGGUAUAUACCCUGUAAUAGGGAUAACAAACUCCUUGAGUGCUUUUUCACUUGUUACUCCAAUUAAUUCGCCAAGACCUUGAGCAUCCUGUUCUCUCAAUUCUGCAGACCUGCUUAUUAGGCCCUGAAGAUAUAUGGGAAGCAAUGGUUGAAGAGCCUUUGGGAGACAUAACCUGGGUAUAACAAUUGGUCCACCCUAUAUGUCCAUCAACAAAUAUUUAAAUAAGAUAAACCUUAAUCACUACUAAAUGCUGAUUAAAAUACACAUAGUUGCCCCUCGAGUUCCAAAACAUUAAAACAACUCUAUUUUGUGCUUAGAUUCCAAAAUAGGACCAAAACAAAAUUCAUACGCAAGUGCUCAAUGGAUGAAAAAACUCAUAUGUACAAAUUCUAAGCCAAAAUACAAGAAUACAUUAGUUCUACAUAAACCCUAUCAACUCGAAAAUAAAAUUUUCUCGUAUAAUAAUUACAUAACCAAAUUAUGUAGUGAAAUCACACAUUAAAGCAAAUGUCUUUGUUAUUGUGAAUUUUGAUACAUCAUAUAUUAUUAUAUUUUUACCUUUAUUAUAGAUUGGUUACCCAACUUUACAUGCAUUUGUUGAGUUUAUUUCUGGAUUUGACAUGCCUUCUGACAUUCACUCAAAGAAGAAAGACAACAUUCUUCUAGAAACUGGGAAACCUUUUCGAUGGCUCUCUUCCAUGAUGAGUUAUCGUUGCCACUAGCUCAUAUCUUCGACCGUAUUUAUUAUAAUUUUUUUUAUAAAUUAAUAAAAAGAUGAAAAUGAUAUAUANNNNNNNNNNNNNNNNNNNNNNNNNUAUAUAUAUAUUAUAUAAAUACAUACCUCUGGUGAUGAUAAAAAAAGGAAAUCACGAUUCAGAGUAAGGUGAAGAGGAAUGUGGAUUGGUUUGAGUAAUUUUGUGCUUCCUUGACUUACAUAGCUAAACCUCAUUAAGUGUAGUAUUAUUAUCUCUGGAAGCUCUAAUAUUUCACUGAUUUACUUGCACAUACUAAUUCACAUAAUAAUAAAAAGAAGUAUACAUUUCCUGCUGAUGAAGCACGAUACCCUUCAAGUGUCUCUGGAGCUGAAAAAAGAUGAAGUGCAUCUUCUAUUGUAUGCAUAGGAUCUGGACAUAUAUUCAAAUGGAGCAAAAGAAAUGGCUGAAUAGUUGCAGAUGCUUUGUUACCUAUUUUUGUUUUACAUUAAAAAUAUAUAAAUGAUGAAUUAAUGAUAUCAUGUUAUUGAGAUGAGUGAAAAAUGUUAAAAGAUUAAAAAAAAAUACCUCUUGCUUUCAUUACACUUUUUAUUUGGCCUUCGAAGAUCUGACUUAAUUUUGAAGGAAUAAAACUUUGUGUUCUUGUGAUUGUAGUUUUGUUCUUUGGUCCAACUGUUUCCCAAAUAUCAUCAUCAUCUUCAUCACUUAAAGAUGAAACCAGUGAAACUUUUCCACCAUUAAAAUUACAAACUUCUCCUUCAAGUUUAAGAAGUUCAUCAUGCAUUUGGUGCAUUACAAAGCUUAAAAACACCUGAGCAUCUUCUUGCCUUUUUAAAAAACAAACUUCAACUCAGCAUCCGAAAUUCCAAACAUAACAUAUAUAAAAUUUGUUGAUUAAUUUUAUAACAUUAACACAAACCUUGGUCUUCCAGAGAAGCUAUUUGGCAUAUCUGGAGAGAAAUUGUUGAGAACAGAUUCAAACAUGAUAGGUCGAAAAGGUUUCCCAGUUUCUAGAAGAAUGUUGUAUUUCUUCUUUGAGUGAAUGUCAGAAGGCAUGUCAAAUCCAGAAAUAAACUCAACAAAUGCAUGUAAAGUUGGGUAACCAAUUUGUAAUAUAGGUAAAAAUAUAAUAAUGUAUGAUGUAUCACAAUUCACGAUAACAAAGACAAUUGAGUCCAACUCCAUCGGCGUUUGCUUUUGAAUGAAUUCCUUGGGAUAAACCUUCCAUAUACGCUCUGCUCCCUUUCCUUUUGGAACAAAACACCAUAGCAAGACUCCAAAUAUGUAAUAAUAAUCGAUCGAUAAAGUUUCUACAUAAGUUGCAGGUGAUCAAAAAUGGCGGAAAUCAGGAAAUGUAAAUUGUACCUUUAGCGAGAUUAGGGUAAAGCCAUCACAAGUUAGAGCCAUCAUCACCUGUGGGAGACCUAGGGGAAGUUGAUCGCCUCUAUCCACCUGCCAAAAAAGUGAAUCGUCUUCCCAUAAGUUUUCGUCACUUUCUCUCGAUCUUGCCGCUCAACCGGACCAAGGACGCCGGGAAGGAAAAGGACGUCCCUCUUCACCUCAUACUCGUGGAUGUGCCACAUUGGCUUUUCUGAAUCCGGCAAGGUGAAGAACAAUUUUUAUGUUACGAUGUUUUCAACUCCGAUUAAAAAAGCCCUAGAAAUUAUCCCAGUGAUUUUGUGAUAUAUGAGUUGUUGAGGUAUACAGCAGAGGUGGUAUCGUGAUUAGGGUUUGCAGAGAAAAGGGGGAAGAAGAGAAUGAAGGGGAUCAAGCGGGGUAUUAAAAAAUUUAAGAUUUUUGAGAGGAUUUCAUUUCCCCCUUUCAAGAAGGCGCGUUUUAGUAAAAAUUAUAAAGCGACAAUCACAGAGGACGCAUAUUUUAGAUAAAGUGCCCUCCGUGUUUUUAUUUUUUUUACAUUCGACACUAAUUUAAGGGCAUGCAAUAAUGCGUGACCUAAAUCCUCAAAUUUUUUGAAGAGACGACACUUUUUUAUUGUCACUCUCGUUUGCGUAACAUAAAUCAAUAAGUGUCGUGAUUUGCACAUCGUAAAAGGGUCUUUUUCUUGUAGUGAGGAGUUGUAUGAUUAGAUGAUUGUCUUUGUGAUAUCAUCUAGGUUGCUGCUACCUGAUAUGUUAUAUGCUGGUAUGAUAUGUUAUUUGUGAUAGUAGUAGAGUUCGGUUGUUUGGACCGAAGGGUAGGUCAGACACCCCAGAUAUGUCUGACAGUAUGUGAUGAUAUGUUUAUAUGCUGGCAUGAUACGUUAUAUGGGAUAGUGGUAGUAGGAGGGGAACAAUCUCCAAGUUCGGUUGUUAGAGCCGAAGGGUAGUUCGGACACCCUAGAUAUGUCUGAUAGUAUGUUUAUGUUAUGAUAUAUGUGAUAGUAGUGGUAGGGGUGGAAUAGUCCAAGAGGGUCGGUUUUUAGGACUGACGGGUAGGUCAGCACCCCAGAAAGGCUUGACACGGGUAGGACGAUACCCCAGAAUGGCCGCAUGGGUAGGUCGGCACCCUAGAAUGGCCGCACGGGUACCUAGAAUGGCCGCACGGGUAGGUCGGCACCCCAGAAUGGCCGUACCGGGUAGGUCAGGCACCCCAGAAUUGCCUGGCAGUAUGUAUGCUAUGUGAUUGUAUGUUAUGUGGCACGAUGGGGGAACUCACUAAGCUUCGUGCUUGCAGUUUACAGUUUUUGUUUCAGGUACCUCUUCAGCAAAGGGGAUGGAGCUGGCGCGGUAGUGGCACAUCAUGAAUGGUUUUCCGCACUAGUGUUUCUUGGUAUUGUACUAUGACAUUAUUCUUAUUUUUGUGAAUGGUUUUCAGACAUGAGAUGUGGUUUUAUGAAAAGUUAUGAUUAGAUGGUGUUUUCUUAUAAAUGUUUUUACAAGUCAAUUUUAAAAAUGAAAUUUUUGGACUUGUAAAUUGGGUCGUUACAUUCCUUCCAUGGUAAGACUUUAAGCAAAACCAAAUCUCCAACUUCGAAUGCCAUCAGUCGUCUUUUCUUGUCAGCAUAGCUCUUUUUACAAUCCUGAGCUGCUAACAUCCUUUCCCUAAUCACUCUUAACUUUUCAACAGUCUGAUGGACUAUCUCGGGGCCCAUAAACUGCCUUUGUUCAACUUCAAGCCAACAUGACGGCGUACGACACUUUUUUCCGUACAAAGCUUAAUAAGGUGCCAUCUUGAUGCUUAAGUGGAAACUAUUAUUGUAGGAAAACUCUACCAGAGGUAAGUGUUCAUCCCAGUUACCUUGGAAUUCUAGGGUACACACUCUUAGCAUUACUAUAGUGUUUGAAUCGUCCUUUUUCUCUAACCAUCGGUCUGUAGAUGGUAGGCUAUACUUAAACACAGCUUCGUACCCAAUUCUUCUUGUAGACUCCUCCAAAACCUUGACGUGAAACGGCUAUCAUGGUGUAACGCCCAUGUUUCUAGGCUAGGCAUUAAUGAUAAUGUAAUAGUCUAGGUUAACCUUUGUAACCCGUCUUGAAAUAAUAAAAAUGUAUUAUUUGAGUAUUAUGUGUUUUGUGCUUAAUUGUGUGACUUAAAUGAAUUAAGGAUAAAAAUAAGCAUCAAAAUGAAAUGUUAGAUAAACUCGAUAUCUAUGAAGGAUGUGGUAGUGGUCGUGGCAAGGUUUCCAAAUAUAUAAAGAAUGCCAAAAUCUGAGUUAUAACGAAAAAGUUAUGAUCUGUCGAAGUUUCGUUACAGAACCGGCACGGCACUGCGUGACGUAAAUAGUGAAUUUACGAUAGAGCGAUAUUUAGUCUUAGUGAUCUAAACAGAAGUUGUAGAAUAAGUUUAACCGAGAGCGUGCAUAAGAAGAACGUCUAAAUUUGACUUCGUAUGAGGAAGUUAUGAUUUUUCGAAGUUUCGAUUUAGCAGUAUGCAACCCAAAUCUCGAAUUACAGAUCGAGUGAUACUUGGCCGAAACAAUCUAAACGGGAAUCGAAGAUCUCGUCGAUAGUAGUCCAAAAGUGAAAAGACAUACGAAAACGGACGUCGGAUGAAGAAGUUAUGAAUUUCUAACGGAGUUUUCCUGUCCGACCUGCUAAAAAUAAUAUAAUAAAAAUAAGUUCAAAAUUAGCCGACGCAGUCUAAACGAAAGUUGUAGAGCAUAGUCUCACCUAUGUGUGGAUAUAAAGAACAUAAAAAAUGGAGCUCGUAUGAGGAAGAUAUGAUAUUAUGAAGUUUUUAAAUAAUUAAAAUAUAUAAAUUUUAUUAUAUAUUCGGAUAAUAUCCGAAUCCAUGACUCAGCCGAUCUGAUCCGAAGAUUACGCCCAACGUACUGCUUGUAGAGGCAUUACGCCCAGCAUAAUCAGGAUUUACGCCCAACGUAAAUCGAGGUUUCAUCCCCUAUAAAUAGAAGUCGUGGGCAGCCGAGUUUUGUUGCUCAUUUCUUCCUCUCUCUCCCGUUUUACCUCGUUUUACGUGCAAGCUUUACCCCCGAAGCCGCGGUAUCAUUCCCGAGACCCGAAGCCCCGGGGAUCCCGAGAAGUAAAGUUUCUGAGCCGAAACUCUGCCCGUGUAAAGCCCGGUUUUGGAGAAAACGUCCUGGUUUUAUCGGAAAAUAUUAUUUUAAUAUAUGAGGUGAUGUCCGAUCAUCUUCUUAUCAAGUGAGUGUAUAUUCCCUUUCUUCUAACACAUAGAUAUGAAGUAUCUACUUUAGAAUAUGUGUUACAUGUGUAUAAAUAUACGUGUAUAUAUAUGUUAUCUGUUUAUUUGGAAUGAGUAUCUUAUUAGUUUUUAAGUUACAUAUGAAUGCAUAUGUAUGUUGUUAUCUACAAAAUGUUGGGUAGAACUUGUGUAGAUAGUUGAUGUGUGAUAAACUGAUGAGAUGCCUCGAUGUGAUUGUGAUCUAGUCAUUCAACAGAAUAUGGGUGACGACCACGGACUCUUUCUAGACUGUCCCGUGGAAUGCUGGCAGGCUCAUAACCUGUAGGUGUUGGUGAACUUGGGUGUUCAUUUGUUGUAUUCUAUCCCCCUCAUGGUUGCCUUAGGACAUUCAUUGUUGAGAAAACCCCUCUGCAGUAGUGUCCGUCCUGAUGAAAAUCCUAGAUUAGGUCCCUUGUAAUAGUUAUUGUCAUAGUGACGUAAAGUGAGGAUAACAGGAAUGGGUAAUCAGGUUAUUGUUGGUUGGUGAAAUUAAAUAUAAUUAGUUAUUGUGGGUUGAAAACCCUAUAUGCUCACCAGGCUCCCAAGCUUGACCCACUCAGUUUUUUUGUAUUACAGGUAGUGGUGCGAGGGCAUAAGUUGGAGAACUUAUGAAGAUGUUUUUGUUUAUAGACCAGUAGUUGUAUAUAACAGUGUAAGGUCUAUGUUUUACUGUUUAUGCUUUUGUGUCUGUAUCGGAACAUGACAUCCUGAGUUUUGAUAUAUAAUGAAAAUACAUUUCUUUAAGAAAUGUUUUGAUAAACUUUAUUUUAUCAUGUUUUGUUUUAGGGACAAAUUCUGCAACUCUUUUAAAUCAAUGGAUUUACUCUGAAAUUAUUUUAAAAACAUAAAUGAAACCGGCCUUUUCUGGCCGUGAUUUUGGGGAUUUCACACAUGGUCUGAUACUAUCUUUAAAGGAACACCAUGAAGUCUUACUACCUCCUUCACGUAAGCAUUUGCAAGCUUAUCUGUAGACCAUCUUGUUGGAUUAGUGUCUAAGUCCAUAACUAUUUUGGUAUGUACUUGACCCGAUGGUGCAUGGUCCUUUUGGGUUGCCUUCACCAAAGCAACUUGAUUGGAGAAAUAAAUAAAGAGAGAGAGGUUAUUAUGAUUUAUUAAUAUGUUAUAAGAAUAAUAUAUUAAAGGAGAAAUCAUAUUUGUUUAAUUAAUAUUGGUCAAUAAUUAAUUAAGAAUUAAUUUUGUGAUCAAGUGUAAUUAAUUAAACUAGAGGGGCUGAAUUGUAAUUAUGUGAUAGUUACAAAAUAAGGUAAGGAUUAUCUUAAAUAUAGGGUGAACGAAUUUAAGGAGAUAAUGCCUUAGAAUUCGACUAGGAUAAGGGUUUCUAAGACUUAUCUUAUGGUUGCUUGGUGGGCAAGCAACUAGAUAAGGAUAAGGACUAAAACCCUAAUCUUUACACCUAUAUAAACCCCCUAAGGCUCAUGAAUUCGUCUAAGCCUUCCCAAGAAGUCCUAAGGACGAAUUCCUACCUCUAUCCUCUCUCUUUAUACCUUCUCCAUUUGCUCUUGGUGUUUGUGAGCCAUUAGAGGAGUGACACUUGUGACUCUAAGCCUUCCAAAGUCAAUUCAUGGAGAAUUGGGAUUGUUAUUACUACAUAACAAUCAAGGUAACAUCUUAAACCUAAUUAUAUGUUAAUAUUGAUUUCCAUAUGCUAGAAUUAGGGUUUAUAGUCUUGGAUUCAUUGCAUGUACAAUAGAGAAACCUAGAUCCAAGCAUUAGGGUUUGUAUGAGCACAUAGGAUGUCUUAUGACCAAAACCCAUCAGUGGUAUCAGAGCCUAGCUUGGUUUCAAUUGUAUUGAUGCAUUGUAUAACUGGAAAAUUCGUUUUUUGGGUUUCUGGAGGCUGGACUCGCCGAGUCCAUAGAUGAACUCGCCGAGUCCAUGCUGACUCGACGAGUCCAUGCCUGACUCGGCGAGUCGGCUCGUCAGAAGGAGGGAAAACCGGGAUUUCUUGCUGUUUUUGCUUAAGGAUAGUUGCCUUAUCAUAUUAGAUCAAUAUAAAUCCGAUUUUAUGAUAUAUUUGACUAUAUUCUUGAUCUAAUUGAAGAUAUUUAUCAAUUAAUAAAAUAUUUGUUUCCUUAUGUGAUAAUUGAUUAAUUAUUUUGAUUAAAUUGAUAAAUUGUUUUGCAAGAAAUCAUUAAAUAAAUCAAAUAUGGAUAAUUAUGUGAUUAAAUGUUAAUUUAGAUUAUUUGUUAUUUGAUCCUUGUUGUUAUGAAAAGUUUCAUAUUUUCCCCUUUAGGUUUUAUAGUUUAAAUUUGAACCCAAAAGUUUUGUUGUUUUGAAAUUUAAAUAGUUGAAACCCUAAUGUUUUGAAAAAGGUUUCAAAACUUGCCCUCAAGUUUUGGAAUUUAAAUUUUGAUUAAAUAGUUUAAUUUUGAUGUAUAUUUAAAUUCUAAACCCUAAUGUGUUGAAAUGUUUCAAAACUUGCCCUCAAGUUUUGGAAUUUAAAAGUUGAUUAAAAGUUUAAUUAGGAAUGUUAAAUUCUAAAACUCUAGUAUUGUUUUGAAAAAGUUCAAAUCACACCCUUAUGGUUUUAUUAAUUAAUUAAGGUGUAUAAUUAAAAGAGGUUUAAUAAAUCCAUAAAAGUUUUGGUUUACAAUUUAAUUGAAUUAAAAGUAUAAUUGUUAAAUUUGACCACCUAGUAUUUUAAAAGUGUAAAAUACACCCUAUACUAUAUAUAACAUUAAAAGUCUAACAUUAUAUAUAUGUAUGAGUAAAAGUCAGUCUUACCGUUAGUAGGCCUCAUUCACGAAGCUGGUCUAUAAGGGGUGUUUAAGGAAAUUGCCUAUAAAAUGGCGAUUGAAUGGGUAUCCACUCUUACCCACCGCACUCUUGACUAGUGGAGGGUCGUUAGCCGAACGGGUAGGAUAGGACGAAACCUUCCAUUAUAAGUAUAAUGAAGUAUAAAAGUAACUAAAUGUUUUCAUAAAAUUCCCAAUCUUAGUUACUUAGGCAAAAGUGAAUUGAUGCAAUUCCAUGAAAUUACACUUUGUGCCCUUGCGAAGACGUUAGUGGAGCGUGUGUGGUUUACCGGCACACUAAAUGGUUCUAAGCAAAGGUAGCAAAGGGUGACUCAAUGUUUGUCAUAGUUCGGUGGAGCGUGUGUGGUUUACCGGCACAUCGAAUAGGUGACUGUAACAUGUGAGGGCACCAUGUAAGUUUGCAUGGUUAUUCACACCCGCUUUGUGAUCCUCGGCAUCCCAGUCACAAACAAGAGGGGCAUAUCGAGAUUUAAACAUGCCAUUGAAAUGUUCAAUGAAUCUCAAAGGAUCUAGGAGUUUUCAUAGAUUUAAAACUUAAAUUUCUUUUUCGUUUUUCAUGGUGGAAAUUAGUGAAUCGUCAUUCACUUACCUUCAAAUGUUCUGCAAUUUGGGUUACGGCAUCCCUCUCCCGAGUUGUAGAAUAUUGUGUUGGGUCCUAGCCUUAGUAUCUCAUUUGGGUGAUUUACUAAGGACUCAAUCAAUCAACUAACUUGAAUUCUUUUUCUCCCGUUUUGUAGAUGUCAAAGUUCGACAACUAUGGUCUUCCCAAAUCCCGUGGAACAAGCAUUCCACAUGAAGAUGAUAUUCCACGAUUCGAUCGAGGAACAAGAAAUCAUGCUUCACUUCCUCCACCUCCUCCAAUUAUUCUCCCUAACCCACAAGUUCAAAGGCUUGAAAAGUUCAAGAUCACUCAAGCCCUUUUGGCAAGUAAACAUAAAGAAGGAAAGUCGGUGUGUGCACACGUCCUAGGGAUGAAGUCACACAUUGAUAGGUUAAGAAUGUUGGGAUCCGUUGUCUGUGAGGAAAUGGCUGUUGAUUGGGUUCUUCAGUCACUUCCUAACUCAUAUAGUGAGUUCGUAAGAGAGUACUAUAUGAUGAACCGCGACGUGACCCUUAUAGAUCUCACCUAUAUGCUUAUUGCUGCUGAAUCAGCAAUGGUUUGGCGCAAUAGAAAAGCAAAGUUGAUUGGUGAAUCUGCCUUCAAGACCUCUAUGGAUAUAGACAAUGGCAACGAAAGACAUGCUAUGAUCGAAAAGUUUGAUCAUAAGAGAAAGGCAAUGUCUGAAGUAGUUCCAUGUCAUGUUCCAAAAGAGUCAAUUUGCUUUUAUUGCCAAGAGAAAGGGCAUUGGAGACGAAGCUGCCCCAUUUACCUAAGAGAUCUAAGAGAUGGGAGAGUCGAAACGUAUGGCUCUAAUAUAGGUAAAAUCCAUUAACUAACUCUUUUAAGCUUCUAUUCUAGAUUCUUAAUACAUAAUGUGAUAAGAUUACAAUUGAUGUUUUGUAGGAUCGAAGAAAAGAAAGGAAGCUUAAGGGAAGAAGUGAGCAGAAUCUAACCGUGAAGGAAUGGAUUUCGAUCGCAUUUCUCGAAGAUUAGAUUCUUGAGCUACUACUUAGAGUUAGAAUUAGAUUGCUAAGAAAGAUGUAUUAGCAUAGUUUUUCAAUGAAUUGCAUUGUAAGGACAAAUUUUUCCGCAAUAAAAUAAAUUUUGAUUUUAAAUUUUAUUUAUUUAUCCUUACAAUGGCGUGUAUGAAAAAUUGAUGUUAAAAUGUUUCUAUUAUUAGCAAUAAUGGAUUUGGUUCUUAUUAUGUUAUUUAUGGAAAGUCGAGAAUUUACCAAAUAGGGAGAGUUUCUCAUCGCCCAAGUUUCAAUUGGACAGAAACUUGGAAUCAUGCAACUUGGUUGCACGAUGAAUGAGAAAUUUCAUAUUUGGAAAUUAGACUAAUUCAUUGACAAAGUGUCAAGUGAAGGACUAGGAGAUCGAGUACACAAAGUUGCGUGUUGAUCAAGUCCACCAUAAGAGUAACAAAGAUAUUCGUCAUGAUUUACUAAAGGUUUAGUAAAUAUGAUUAUACUUAUAAGAUUAAGUGUAAUUCUGAAUUGAUUGAAAAGGUUUAAAUCAAUAGCAGAACGAAUAAGAAGAAUCAAGUAGGCAGAAAGAUAAAAGUUUCUCCAUUCUAAGAAGAAGGGAGAGUACCUUUUAUGCUUUAUGAUAGGUCUUAAUGAUUAAGAACCAUAUCUCAAUUGAUCCUCUAAGUGAGUCUUAGUACAAUUGUAUGUCUAAGAAGAGGAAUCAAGAAUUGAAGAAAUGGUUAAAUCAAGAAGUCAAUCAUACUUCGUUCCAAAACAAGUCUUAGAGUUAAGAUUGUGACAUUGAGUGAUAAGUAUAAAGAAGGUUUAUAACAUUCAUUAAAUGUGGAAAGUUGUGAUGUCUUGGAUAAGACAAAGACCAACUAGGACCAAUUUAUGAAGUGUUUUGAUAAAAGCUACACUAACUCUUGAAUAUUUGUUUGUCAAGAAAUGGUUAUUGACAAGAGAAUCUUAUAUGUCAAGGAGUCAGUGGGAGUCUUAAUGGUCUUGAAAGGUUUCAAGAACAAAUCAAAUAAACCUUAUCGAUCAUCACUAGCACACGAGUUGAGGUUUACAACCUAUCGUGUUGACAUUAUUUUGAUUCUGUGCCAAUCCAAUCGAGUUAAUUAUGCAUGUGAGUUCUAUGAGUUCUCAUUUUGAACGCAUAAAAGGCAAAGCACCUUAAUCAAUGAAAGGUACAUUGAUAGGAAAGGGUGAGCUGCUUAACUACUUGGAAGACAUGGUGGGCAGCUGUGCUACCAUAAAGGCAAGAAAUCGAGAUCAAGAAAGUUCGAUCCAUAAGAGUUUGAAUUUGUCGUAAACUUUGGUUUUGACAAAUUCACAUGGAUAGGAACAAAUACACCGUUUAAAUCUAAGUGUCAUAAGAUUUCCUCCUUCAUGAAAAUGAUUGUGAGGAAAUGCUUUCACUAAGACAGAUUUUAAGAAGAUAGUGAUUGUAAAAUUGCAUUCUCGAAUUCAAUUAUGGUUACGGCAUCCCUUUCCAUAAUUUGAAUUGUGAGGUUUGGCAAUUAGUCUUAAUUGUUUAGACACACAUAUGAACUAUCGAAGGCAAAGGUGUAUAAGUUCAAGAAGCCUUGAUAAAAGAUUAUCAAAGCACUAAGUAUUAGAAACAUGAACUUAAGAAAUUCAAUAAGCAUUUUUUUUCUGAAAGUUAAGAUGUUUAUGAAUACAUGUCGAAGCUAGUGGGAGCAUAAGUGUUAUGUUUUAUAAUAAUCAUCAAGAUAGUGGGAGCAUAAAAGUUAUGAUUGUAUGAUUAUUAAGGAAAGUAUUGCAAGGUUAGCAAUAUUAAUUAUAGAAAACAAGAGUCAUACUUUGCAAAGUCGCAAUAGUUGAAGAGUUGUUUUGCUAUAAUUAAGGGAGAGAAUAUUAUGCUUCAUUUCAAAUCUAAAGGUUUAGGUUGAGAAAUGUUAAUAAAAUUUAGUCAAAGGUACAAAGUGUGUUCUUAAAAUUUCGAUUAUGAUUACGGCAUCCCUCUUCACAAUUCGAAUUUUGAGAACAUAGCAAAUAAAACAUUAUGCGUCGUGUCCCAUACGCUUCGGGUAUAGGAUCGAUUGCAAAUGCUUUAAUGUUUGACCAUUCUAAAAUUUUCCAAAUGUCGAGCGCAUUUAGAGGGAAAAGGGACUAGAAUUGGUUUUGACUAAAAUAAUUAAACAACUAUCAAAGGACAAUCCAAAGUUCGACGAGGAUUGGUCGCUUGUGAGUAGUUGGAAGUAUAGUAUUGGAAAAUAUGGAAAUGUUUCCAUAUUGGAUGGACCAUAUCGACAUCAUUACGAAUAGAUAAGAUUCUAUUAAGAAUGAGUUGUCAUAUGGAACAUAUGGAAGUGUGUCCAUAUUGGGAAUUGAAUAUUGAGAAAUCUAUGACUAGAUUAGAAACUUCUAUGCAAAAGGAUGUUCAAAGAAUGUACUUUGAGUGAGAGACAUCACAUCUAUGGAAUUGUCUUGUAACAAUCUCCGAUAGAGGACUUUGUAAUAUCAUUGGCAAUAGUCUUUGUGACUUUGGUGCAGUGACAUUACGAAAGGAUCGUUGCAUAAAAUGUUAGAAUCUAGCAUAUUCUAUAAGUAGCAAGAAUUUGAUAUUCUUUCACUUAUGAAAAGGAUUUGGAGUUGUGAAAUGAGAAUGAUUGGAAAUGUGUUCAAUUUGAUCUAUUUCACAAAGUAAGAACCAUAGGUAAACAUUGUGUGCAUGCUAGGAGCAUGGGACAAGUGUAAUAAUUCAAGUAAGAAGUUGAUUACCCGAAACGACAAAUAAUGAGUAAUCGAUAUGGUGAUAAAUAAAAGGUGUUUUAUUUAUACUCAAAGGUUUGAGGCCAUAUGGGAUUAGUAUUAUUCUUGUGUUUCACAUUUGCAUGUUUUGACUUCCAGAAUAAUUGAGUUUAUUAAGAAUAAUCGAAUUAUUCGAACGGGCCACAGUCGUUCAUAUGUUGGAAGUAGAUAUGAAUGAAGACUGUCGUGAAUUGGUGUGUGGAUUGUCUAAAAGAGUAUUAGACAUAAGCAAAUGUUUGCUGCAACGUUCAUGAGUGCUUAUGAAUAUGAUUUGAGCAUUGGAUUAAACCCACGCUCACUUGGAUCACUCCAUGAAUUGUAUCACGAGUGAUUGGUGAGACGAUAACAUCUUAUAUUCUUGAAACCGAGAUGUGUGAGUUGUAUCUUGCGAAUCGGUUGCACAUUGAUAAUAUGUAAACGCACUAGUAACUUGGUGUUAUAAAACAUAUUGUUGUGUGUGAUUUGGUUAGUAAGUGCAAGCAAGCAUUGUAUCAAAGUUUAUCCGUUCCUUUUAUCCAAAGUAGGAUAAAAGCGAUAUCUUUGGGCCCCUCGAUGAUUUAGUGAUGACAAACGUAAAUGCUCGGCCGGGCUAGGGCUAAUUUGAUUUGUUCAAUUAGUCAGUCGUCAUAAAUCGGGAAUCGAGAUAUAGUACAAAGAGAAUGAUUUGAAAUCAUAUCUCAUAUGAUAUCUAGAAUGGAGGAAUAUAUGAUCCCUUAUCUAAGGACACGCGUAUCUGAUAUGAUCAGAGUUGACAGCGGCUUUGGAAAGCUACGAUUGCAGAUCAGGAUCUGAAGUCAUACGCAGAAUAGUUGUUAGACUUAUCCAAGUGGGAGACUGUUGGAUUAGUGUCUAAGUCCAUAACUAUUUUGGUAUGUACUUGACCCGAUGGUGCAUGGUCCUUUUGGGUUGCCUUCACCAAAGCAACUUGAUUGGAGAAAUAAAGAGAGAGAGAGGUUAUUAUGAUUUAUUAAUAUGUUAUAAGAAUAAUAUAUUAAAGGAGAAAUCAUAUUUGUUUAAUUAAUAUUGGUCAAUAAUUAAUUAAGAAUUAAUUUGUGAUCAAGUGUAAUUAAUUAAACUAGAGGGGUUGAAUUGUAAUUAUGUGAUAGUUACAAAAUAAGGUAAGGAUUAUCUUAAAUAUAGGGUGAACGAAUUUAAGGAGAUAAUGCCUUAGAAUUCGACUAGGAUAAGGGUUUCUAAGACUUAUCUUAUGGUUGCUUGGUGGGCAAGCAACUAGAUAAGGAUAAGGACUAAAACCCUAAUCUUUACACCUAUAUAAACCCCCUAAGGCUCAUGAAUUCGUCUAAGCCUUACCAAGAAGUCCUAAGGACGAAUUCCUACCUCUAUCCUCUCUCUUUAUACCUUCUCCAUUUGCUCUUGGUGUUUGUGAGCCAUUAGAGGAGUGACACUUGUGACUCUAAGCCUUCCAAAGUCAAUUCAUGGAGAAUUGGGAUUGUUAUUACUACAUAACAAUCAAGGUAACAUCUUAAACCUAAUUAUAUGUUAAUAUCGAUUUCCAUAUGCUAGAAUUAGGGUUUAUAGUCUUGGAUUCAAAGCAUGUACAAUAGAGAAACCUAGAUCCAAGCAUUAGGGUUUGUAUGAGCACAUAGGAUGUCUUAUGACCAAAACCCAUCACAUCUUUCAUUGGCUACUAUGAAGUGUGCACUCUUAGUAAACCGAUCAACGACCACCCAAAUCAUGUCGUGACCGUCCUUCGUUCUGGGCAGUUUAGUGACAAAAUCCAUGGUAAUGUCUUACCACUUAUCCAUGGUUACACAUAAAGGUUCUAAAAUCCUAUAUGGUUUCUGAUGUUGUGCCUUAACUCUCACAUAGGUCACACACUUGGCCACAUACUUUGCAAUGUUGAGCUUCAUCUUCGGCCACUAGUAGUAGGGUUUCAGAUCCCUAUACAUUUUUGUGCUGCCGAGAUGAAUCGAGUACAUGGUCUUGUGAGCUUCUUCCAUCAGAAGAUCUCUUACUUCGCCCAUCUUGGAAUACCUUUAAUCCUUGAUUAUUUGUACCGAAAACCAAGUUUUUGCUUAAACAUUCUUCCUUUUGGUCAUUCUCCUCUAAAACUUCCUCCCAAGCUUUGUUGAUGCUUUCCACAAUCAUUGUGACAACCUCUAUUGAUUGUUUUGAUUAUAUUUCUCUUCAAUCUUCUGUCCUAACUCAGAUGCUACAUGAAACUUGGUUCUCUGAACCAUGUAACAUACUCAUCUUAGUUGGACUCGAUAUGAUACGACCACUAGGGUCAGAAUCAGAAUCAUCUUCUUAGUCAUUACCAAAACGAUGGUAAUGAAGAACUUGAACAAAACAGAAUCAAUUACUAGCUUCUUAGUAACCUUGCGACUUUCACUGAUCCAAGUGCAAGUCCUGUGCUUCCGGUAGUAUAGGCCUCUACUACCAUUCACACCUACUCAUACUCGUUCAAGGUGCUAUCUCACAGUUUUCCAAGUCAUCAUUCAAGAGUUUCACAUAAUCAUUUAACACAUCAGAUAACAAAAUCAAGGUUUUAUAUUAUUUCUUGAAAUGAUUACAUAAAUGUUCAACUUCGUCCUAUACUAUGCCUCUAAUAAGUUGCGCUACAUGAUGCUAUCCACAUGGCCACUUCAUAACUUGAUCUUCGGAUAUCAGUCCUCACUCCUGCUUCCUUGCAUUGUCAGCUGCUUCGUUAAGGAUCAUUUGGAAUGCCCUUGGCUGGGGCGGUGCGUUUGGCCUUGCCGCUUUAUUCUUCCUUGGGCGGUUCUUCAAAAUAUGCCAUCCUUCAUUGCAUUCAUAGCACACCCUCUUGCGGGAUGUACACUCAUUGGCGUAGUGCCCAGGAUUUUCACACUUAAAACAAGUGACCUCCCGUCACAUUUCCCAUGGUGCUUCUUUUUGUACUUUUCACACCAUUUCGCUUCAACUCCUCCUCCUCUCGAACCAGACUUCGAGAAAUUACUUUUCUUGUUGGAUUUCGAAGAUCCAUCAAACUUCCUUUUCUUACCAACCUCUGCCCUCUCCAGACCCUUCUCCCUUAUCCGUGUCUCAACAAUCUUCAUAGCUCUAACGACUGCCUUCAACGUGCUUGCCAUUUUGACUAUUGGGCCAAAGUCUGAUGGCAAUCCGUUAGCAAAUUUCUCUAUCUUGGCGAGUUCAGUCGACACCAAGUAUGGAAAUAACUUCAUCUUCUCAGUGAAUGCAGUAGCAUAAUAAUCAAUGCUUAUUCUCCGUUCUUCAAUUUCUGGAACUCAUUGUUUAGAUCUAUCAUAUCUAUUUCGGAGCAGUACUGCAUUUUCAACUGCAUUAUGAACUCUUCCUUAGACAUUUUCAGAGCUUUUCCUCGUGGCAUCGUAUCCGUUAAUAACUUCGACCAGCUUAAAACUUUGGUCUUUACUUGUUUGACCGCAAAGACAAUUUUUUGUUUGUCGCUAUAGUUGCAGCUUUCAAAUACCAUCUCUAUUUCGACAUGAUCUUCAUUGUGAUUUGACGAAACAUAUUUGGACGGUUAUGCUUUUCAUGGCCAAUUUUCGAAGAAGUACUUCUUUUAAAUUGACGAGUGUGACAUCCACCAUUUUCACGGUCAGAAAAGACUGAUUUUGUUUAUGCUUUAUAAUAAAAUCAGAGUAACCUUUUUAAAGAAAAGUGUUGUGGAAUUUGUUCCUAAAAUAAAAUAUGAUAAAGAUUUAUCAAAACAUUUCCAAAGAAAUGUAUUUCAUUGUAUUAAAACCUUGGGAUGUCAUUAUUAAUACAAAUCAGAAACAUAAGCAGUACAACAUAGGCGUUACAACAUUUAUUUAAAUCUACUAGCCUAUAAACCAUAAUCCUCUCGUCAAGUCAUCCAACUAUGCUCUUGCCACUACCUAUAAUACAAGAAACUGAGCCGGUCAGGCUUGGGAGCCUGGUGAGCACAUAGGGUUUUCAACCCACAAUAAAUAAUUUUGUUAAUUUCAACAAAUGAAAUAAACCAGAUUACCCGUUUCUAUUUAUCCUCACAUUACGUCCCUAAAACAUCUAAUAUAAGGGACAUAGCCUAAGGAUUAUUGUAGCACCUGGUUCCUAGUACGUAAUCCUUGUAAUUAAUAUUUCUUAAUUUUGCAUUUUUGCCUUGGACUUGGCGAGUUGAAGAACCGACUCGUCGAGUAGAAGCGGGAUGAGAAGCGGGGUCUGAGCUUUGGACUCGGCGAGUAGACCCUGUUUGGGCAAAAACCCUAACCAAAGUGUUUGCACCCUAUUUAAACGCUCUAACUUGGCCUCCUUUGUCCCGAACACUCCCAGAGAGCUGAAGAGCGAAACCCUAGCCCCCAUUUUGUUCUUGAGAGUGAUUUUUGGCUUUGUGAAGAAGGUUUGGAGCUUAGAAGAAGAAGAAAUAGGUUGUAGUGUGCAAAGAGGGGAAGUAGAUCCGGAAUCUACACUACAAGAGGCUUCCAUUCAGCCGGAGGAUUACCGAUUCAGCAGUCAGGCGCUUAGCAAGCAGAUUUUCAGCAGCUACUUUUCGAGGUGAGUUACCUUCCAGUAGCGGUGGGUCUAAGGCCACAAUGUCGGCCCACCAGUAGGAGACGUAUGAUAGAUGAGUGUCUUUGUGAUAUCAUCUAGGUUUGUUACUACCUGAUAUGUUAUAUGCUAGCUUGAUGUGUUAUAGUAGUAGAGUUCGGUUGUUAGGACCGAAGGGUAGUCAGAUACCCCAGAUACGUCUGACAGUAUGUGAUGAUAUGUUUGCAUGUUGGCUUGUUAUGUUAUAUGCGAUAGAGGUAGUAGGGGGUGAAAUAGUCCCCGAGGUUCGGUUGUUAGGACCGACGGGUAGUCAGCACCCCAGAAUGGCUUGACAUAGGGAGGGCGGCACCCCAGAAUGGCCGUACAGGUAGGUCGGCACCCCAGAAAUGCCUAGCAGUAUGUAUGUGAUAUGAUUGUAUGGUAUGUGGUACGAUGGGGGGGACUCACUAAGCUUUGUGCUUACAGUUUUCAGUUCUGGUGUCAGGUACCUCUUCAGCGAAGGGGAAGGAGCUGGCGCGGUAGCGGUACAUCAUACACACACAUUGGAUUUCCGCAUUAUGAGAUGUCCUGGGAUUGUACUCUGACAUUAUUAUUAUUUUCAUGUUUUGGGUUUUCAGACACGAGAUUUGUUUUAUGACAUGAUAUGAUCGGAUGAUGUUUUACUGCAAAUGUUUUACAAACCACUUAUUUUAAGUGAAAUUUUUGGGCGUGAAAAUUGGGUCGUUGCAAUUAUCAUCGGGGUAACAACAUUGCUUAGGGGAUACUGUGACAUCCCCAAAAUCUUGGCCAGAAAAGACCGAUUUUCAUUUAUGCUUUUAAAAUAUUUUCAGAGUAAAUCCUUUUGAUUUGAAAGAGUUGCGGAAUUUGUUCCCAAAAACAAAACAUGAUAAAACAAUGUUUACCAAAGCAUUUCAUAAAAGAAAUGUAUUUUCAUUAUAAUCAAAACUCGGGGUGUCAUGUUCCGAUACAGACCAAUAAGCAUAAACGAAUACAUUACAAGUCAUAUAACAAAUAUAAACAUAUGCAGACUUGUAAACAAAACAACUUGAUGGUUCAUCCAUCUCAUGCCCUUCCGCCACUACCUGUAAUACAAUUUAAAACUGAGUGGGUCAGGCUUGGGAGCCUGGUGAGCAUAUAGGGUUUUCAACCCACAAUAAAUAUCAUAUUUAAUUUUCACCAACCAACAAUAACCCAAUUACCCAUUCCCGUUAUUCUCACUUUAAUGUCCCUAAAACAACUAACAUAAGGGACCUAGUCUAAGAAUAUUUCAUCGGGGCGACAACACAUGCUUCGGGGGUACCUCAGCAAUAUAAGUCAAAUAAGGCAACCAUGAGGGGGAUGGAGUACAGCGAAUGAACACCCAAGUUCAUUAACACCUACAGGUGGCGAACCUGCUAAUGUUUCCACAAGACUAUCUAGAAAAGUCCGUGGUCGUCAUCUAAACUCCGCUAGAUGACUAAAUCAAACAACAACGAGGCCUCUCAUCUGUUUAUUACACACCAACUAUCUACCCAUGUUCUACCCAACAUAUUAGUAGAUAAAAAUAUACAUUUUUAUACAUAGUUUAAAAACCUGUAUAGCAUGCUUUAAUCAACACAUAUUUCACAUAACAGAUGAGGCACACACACACAUAACACGUAUCUCAUAGAGAAUAAAUCAUAUCUAUGAGAUAGAAGAAAGUGAAUACACAUUCACACACAUAACCACAAAAUUAUACACAUAAUACGUAUUCCGUAUAAAAUACUUCAUAAUUAUGCGUUAGAAGAAAGUAACUACACACUCACUUGAUCAGAAGAUGAUCGGACAGCACUACGACUUGCAGAAGUAGUAAUCCUCAGCAGAUCUGGAAGAUCUUCACAAAAAUCGAACUUCUCGCGGGCAGAGCUUCGGCUCGGGAACCGCACUUCUCGGGAUCUUCGGGAUCUCGGGACUUGCCUCGGGGCUCGAGUAUGAUACCGGGGCUUCGGGGUAUUUCUGGCACGCAAAACGAUGCAAAACGGGAGAGAGAAGAGAGAAAAUGAACAAAAGAAUCGGCUGCCUUCGGAUCCUAUUUAUAGGAGGCUGAAGCCUCGGAGUACGCGAGGUGUACUGGUCCGAAAAACGUCACUGCUUACGUAUCCGAAGACUCGAGUGCGAAUGUCGACAUCCCUCGGUGUACGCGGGGCGUACUUCGGAUCGGAUUGCUGACUCCCCUUCGGAUAAUACCGGAUUUUCUAAUAAAAAUUAAAUACAAAUUAUUUAAUAAACUUCGGAAAUUCAUCUCUUCUUCAUACGAACUCCGUUUUCGACGUUCUUUAUAUCCACGCGAAGGUGAGACUACGCUCUACAACUUUCGUUUAGACUCCGUCGGCUAAUUUUAACUUUAUUUUUAUUAUUUAUUUUUAAUAGGCCGGGACAGAAAAACUUCGUUAUAAAUUCAUAACUUCUUCGUUUGACGUCCGUUCUCGCCUAACUUUUUAUCGCUUCGAGACCAACAACGAGACCUUCGAUCCUCGUUUAGGUUGCUUCGGCUCAAAACCGCUCGAUCUCAAAUCGAGUAUUUCGGGCUGCACACCGCUAAACCGAAACUUCGAUAAAUCAUAACUUCCUCAUACGAAGUCAGAUUUGGGCGUUCUAUAUAUACAUUCGUAAACCUCGUUUCAACUACUACAUCAUCAACCAAAGAUAUCAAGUUUAUUUUACACUUUAAUUUUGACGCUUAUUUUUAUUCUUAAUUAAUCAAACCACAUAAUUAAGCAAUUAAGCACAAAACACAUAAUACUCAAAUAAUACAAUCAUAUUAUUUCAAAACGGGUUACAAAGGUUAACUUAGACUAUUACAUUGCUAAAAAUGGCAAGCCCGGAAACACAGGCGUUACAGAUACCUCAACAUUUUAUGUCAAAUAAGGCAACCAUGAGGGGGAUGGAGUACACCUGGUGAACACUGAGUCCAAAUAAACACCUACAGGUUGCGAGCCUGCUAGCGUCCCAUUGGACUGUCUAGAAAAGUCUAUGGUCGUCAUCUAUACUCCGCUAGAUGACUAGAUCAUCGUCAAUAUCGAGGCCUCUCAUCAUUUUAUUUCAUCACACGCCAACUAUUUCAUCUACCCACGUUUUACCCAACAUAUUUGUAGACAUAAAUUACAUAUACAAUUCAGAUCUAAAAAACAAAAUNUAUAUAUAUAGUUUAGAUCUGAAAAGAAAAGUCUAGAUCUGAAAUGAGAAAGUUUGGAUUUGAAGGAAACAGUUCAGAUCUGAAAGAAAGAGUUUAGAUUUGAAAGAAAAGUUCAUAUCUAAAAAGAAAAAGGUUUAGAUCUUUCUUCCAACAUAGAUCUCAGGUAAACAGAUAAUAUAUAUACACAUAACACGUAAUUUAUAUAAAAUAGUUUAGAUCUGAAAAGAAAAGUCUAGAUCUGAAAUGAGAAAGUUUGGAUUUGAAGGAAACAGUUCAGAUCUGAAAGAAAGAGUUUAGAUUUGAAAGAAAAGUUCAUAUCUAAAAAGAAAAAGGUUUAGAUCUUUCUUCCAACAUAGAUCUCAGGUAAACAGAUAAUAUAUAUACACAUAACACGUAAUUUAUAUAAAAUAUUUCAUAUUUAUGUGUAAGAAGAAAGUAAAUACACACUCACAUGAUAAGGUGGCGAUUCGGACAACGUUUUGCUUCUUAAAAUAAUCUCCAUUGAUGAAACCGGGAAGUUUGGUUGAAAACCGGGCUCUGCGGGGGGGCAAAGUUUCUAAACCGAAAAACUCUUUUUCUCGGAGACUUCGGGCGCUCCGGGGCUUUCUUCUAGUGCUAAGGAGGUCCCCUAGGCUUCGGGGGUGUUUAGGGUGGAUAGAGAGAGAAAGAGAGAGAGAGAGAGAGAGAGAGAGAGAGUAGAGUAGAGAGUGAAAGAAGUGUGAAAUAUGUGAGAAAACAUGGCUAGCCUCGCAUCCUAUUUAUAGUCAGGAGGUCUCGCAUUACGUUGGGCGUUCCUCGGUCUACAUGGGGUGUUCCUCGGUACGCAGGGCGUACCCUCGUACGCGGUACGGUUUGCGAGGUUCGGAUUUGUCACCCUUCAGAUGGAGCUAUGUGGCCAAUUCCGGACCUAGCCUUUGCGAACGCGGGGUGUUCUCUUCGGAUAGCCUCGAAAUAUGUACCUCUUACUUCAAAAAUUCAUAUAUUUUGCAUACGAGCUCCGUUUUCGACGUUAUUUAUAUCCACGCGUAGGCAGGACCGUACUCUACAACUUUUGUUUAGACUCAGUUGGCUAAAUUUGACUUUAUUUUUAAAGUUAUAUUUUUAACAGGCCGGGACAGGAAAAGUCUAUUAAAAAUUCAUAACUUCUUCAUCCGACGUCCGUUUUCGUUUUUCUUUUAACCGUUGAACUACUAUUGACGAGAUCUUCGAUUCUUGUUUAGGUUGUGUCGGAUAAAAAUCCCUCGAUUAUAAUUCGAGCUACGGGCUGCACACUGCUAUGCUAAAUCUUAGAAAAUUCAUAACUUCCUCGUACCAAGUCAGAUUUGGACCUUCUUUUUAUGCACGCUCUUGAUUUAACGUAUACUAGGAUUUUCAUUUAGAUCGCUAAGGCUAAAAUGCACUUUAUCGUAAACUCACUUUUUACGUCACGCAAUAUCGUGCUAGUUUUGUCGUGAAACUUUAACAGGUCAUAACUUUUUUGUGAUAACUUGGAUUUCGGCAUUCUUUAUAUGUCCGAAAUCCUUGUCACGACCACUACAACUUUCUUCAUAGAUAUCAGAUUUAUAUAACAUUUUAUUUUUGAUGCUUAUUUUCAUUCUUAAUUUAUUAUAUCAUUAUAAAUAAGUAUAUAAUCACAUAAAAUCACGUAAUUCACAUAAUAUUCAAGUAAUUCAUCUUUAUUACUUUAAAAUAGGUUACAAUAGUUGACCUUGACUAUUACAUCAUCAUACUAAUGUUUAGCCCAGAAACAAGGGCAUUAGAACGAGUAUGUUACUAGGGAGAAGAGAAAGAAAAAGAGAAACGGAAAACAUGAAGGUUUCACGAGAACUUCUCACUGAUAUCACUAUUCCCGUCGGUAACGUCAUGGACAUUGCCGGUGAUAAGGUUACCUCGUUACCAGAGGCAUUUUCGGUGAAAAACGACAUGAGUGAAGCUUUUCAUCGGAGUUGAUAGAGAGAAAAAGAGUAACACGGAAGAGGGAAGAAUGAAGUCGCUAAGGGUAUUAUUCGUGUCACACUUUAGCAACGAUACCAUUUAGUGGUGUCGAAAGACAUUUGUGGCAACUCGAAACGUAAUAGUCGCGACACACUUUUGAGGGAAUAAUUGGCAGAGGGUUCGAGUAUUAGCGGUGACACCGUUGCUGGUAUUAGUUAGUGGUGUGUAUGGGGCGGUUUGGUUCGGUUAUUGGUUAAAACCGAACCAUAACGAUUAUGAUUGGUUAAUGCAUUUUGGUAGCCAUUGGGUAUGGUUAAUAUUGGUUAUGGUUAGUAGUUUUUAUCGGUUAACGGUUUUGGUUAAUGGUUAAUAUUGGUUAACCAUAAUGUUCAAAAUAAUAUAAACGACGAAAGUAUUUUGGCAUGAAAAAUGAAAAUAAAAUACCAAAAAGUCCUCGACGCCGAUGUUUGUAACCUAACUUAUAGUAAUAUAAUAAAAUGUGUAUCUGUAAUACUUAGAGUGAGAUAACACAUAGUCACAUUUAAAAUCAAAAAUAUUUAAUAAAAAUAUAAAACAUUAAAAAAAUUGACAUUAAUAAUUUCAUAUAUUGAUAAUUGAUAUUAAUAUUAAAAUAAAGUCAAACAUUCAUACACGUUCAAUACGAUUAAAUUAAAACUAUUAAAUAAAAAAGCCAAACAUUCAUAUUCUGUGUUAUUAGAUAUAAAAAAAAAAAAAAGUCAAUCACUCAUCUACAUUCAAUGUGAUUAAGUCAAAAACACUAAAAAAAUUCAAAAAAUUAAAAAAAAAUACAUUCUUAAUAUAUCACAUAGUUAAAAAGAACCAAAAACUUAACUUACCUAGAAGUCUUGAGUAUAAAGUCAAAAAAAUCCUUCGAAUAGGACUAUAAAGUCCAAACAAUCUUUGAUUAUGAUUAACGGUGUGAGAAGCCUUCGAUUAGGAUUAUGAGUGUGAAGAUUAAACUAAUUGUGAAUAAUGUUUACAAAUUGUAGAAUUAGCCGAUUAUGAAUUACAACAUUAAUUAAUAAUCUAACUCAAUGUAUGAUUGGAAGAUUAUGUGUGUCUGAGUGAUCAGUCUUUGAUGAUUUGAUUGCUCGUUCGUCUCCUGGUAAGUGAAGAUUAAUAGAUUAUAUUUUCAAAAUUUUAAUGGAUCUUAAAUAAGUUUGACUAUAUNUCUCUUUCUCUCUCUCUCUCUCUAUAUAUAUAUAUAUAUAUAUAUAUAUAUAUUAAAAUAUAAAGUUAGCGGUUCGGUUAAUAAUGGUUCGGUUAACCUAUAAAACCAUAACCGAACCGUUAGUUAUUGGUUAACAAAAAUUAGAAACCGAACCAACGGUUUUUAAAAUGGUUCGGUUAUAACGGUUAAUUUGGUUUUGGUUCGGCUUUUCGGUUAUUAUGCUCACCCCUAGUAUUAGUUUCGCCGUUAUUGUUAUGUACGAAAUCAUUUUUCAAGUGUUGGAUUAUGACAAAAUCGACGAAUAGGGUUUAACCUCAGAUUUUGACGCGGAUCGGGGUUGAUGAGUUUCGCCUUUAGCGGUGACAACCACCAUUACAACGAGACCUAAUCUAAAUGUUGGGUAUCGCUUGUAAUGGUGGUUGUCGCAACUAAAGGAUUCGCCACUGAAGUCCUAUAUUGUUGUAGUGAUAAAUGUUAAACCUAAACACCAAUUUAAACACACCAACCACUAGAAAUUGGUGGCGACAAGUUCAUGGCAUUAAGAGCGAUAACAAAUGGUGUAUAAAUCCAUUAUGAUCUUCGUUGCGAUUUAACAGAACAUAUUUGGACGGUUAAUGAUUUUGAAGCUCAAUUUUGGAACAAUUUUUUUUUUGAUCCAUCAUGUUAUUAAGUUUUAAGUUUUUAAUUUUUUGAGUUGUUAUGGUUUAGUUUCUUGUUGUGUAAUUUUUAUUUUGAUUUAAUAUAAAAUUUAGUUUUUAAAAAAUUAAUUGCUAAAAAAAGUACUGAUGUUAAAAAAAUGAUGUUAAUCCGCCUAACCUAAAUGUAAAUGGUAUGUUGAAGACGGUGUGUAGCAAAAUCAAAUAUAAGCUGCUGGUUGAUGCAUCGGGUAUUGUAUUACGUGAGGUUGAUAGUUUGAUUUGUUGAAAUUAUCUUUUGUGUGUUUGAGAAUUCUUUUAUGGAAGUCCCUAUAAAAAGGAGUUCAAACUCAAAUGUUGGUUGAAAUAUUGCGAGUACACUUCACUUAAUUUGAUUGCGGUUAGGAAGCAAUUUAAUUUCUCAAAAGAUUAAAUGCCACUAAUAAAUUAAAAAAAUAAACUAAAAAUCAACACCAAAUUAAUGCCAAAGCUUUAAACCAUAUAUUACUAAAUUAAUUCACAUACGCCAUCAAAAAAAAAUUCAUGUCACAAACCCAUACUCAUAAAACUCACUUUCCAGGUACAAAGUUUGUAGCAUAUGACCAUGCAUUGUUUGCAACAGGGUCAGCAAGGUGGUCAGCGAGGUUCUCCAAUGGUCCCUUUCCGGUAACAAUGGCUUGAACAAAGAAUCCAAACAUAGAGAACAUGGCUAGUCUACCGUUCUUGAGCUCCUUCACUUUCAGCUCAGCAAAUGCCUCUGGGUCAUCAGCCAGACCCAAUGGGUCGAAGCUACCACCAGGGUAAAGUGGGUCAACUACCUCACCAAGAGGUCCACCAGCAAUUCUGUAACCUUCAACUGCACCCAUCAAGAUCACUUGGGUAGCCCAGAUGGCUAAAAUGCUUUGUGCAUGGAUCAAACUUGGGUUCCCCAAGUAGUCAAGACCACCCUCACUAAAGAUCUGGGAUCCAGCCUUGAACCAUACAGCCUCACCAAACUUGACACCAUUACGCGCCAAGAGUUCGGGGAAGACGCACCCAAGAGCUCCGAGCAUGGCCCAUCUGCUGUGGAUGACCUCAAGCUCACGGUUCUUGGCGAAUGUUUCAGGAUCAGCAGAGAGCCCAGCAGUGUCCCAACCGUAGUCACCGGGGAACUCACCGGUCAGGUAAGAUGGGGCUUCGCCGGAGAAUGGGCCAAGGUACUUAACACGGUCGGGGCCGUACCAUGGACUUCCUGAUGGUGCGACUUUCUUGACUGCUGUCUUCCUCAUGGAAACCCUUCCAUUUCCGGUGAUUUCUGAACCAGAUGGUGUUAUUUUCACUGCUUGUCCGAUGAAUGAAGAAGAUACAGACAUAGUGGAAGCUGCCAUUCUGUUAAAUUUGGUUGAAAGAUGUUGUGGAGAUAGGAGAGUUUGAGUUAUGAAGAUGGGGAGAUCUGCAAGUUUAUUUAUAAGGUGGUUUUUUGGUCAGAUAGAUAUGAUCGAUGCUUAUCUAGAUACAAUCUUCACCUUCAUUUUGAUUGGCAAACAACAUUCUAGUUUUAUCUAAGGGUCAGUAAUCUGCGUGCUGUGAGUUCUCUGGUCCACCAGAGAUUUUUGAAGGGGCUGCGGUAUAUUCAUGGCUCUGGUUUAUUGAGGGAAUGUAAUGGCUCCCAUUCUCAGCCACAAGCUGUUCUUGGUGGGGUUUUUCAUCUUUAACCAUUUUACAUUUUCACAAAGUUACAUAAAUAGUCAUCAUGCUUUACAAAGUCACCGGUUCAGCAACAAACUUUUUUUCCAUGAUUAAAAAUUCAAAACGGUCCGUAUGGUUUUAAUAUUAUUAGUAAUCAUCUUAACAUUUCUAAUUUUUAAAGACAAAUAUUCAUAUAAAUGGUUAUGUGAUUUUCCAGAAUAUCAAGUGGAGCACAUCAUUUUUUCGGUCUUAUGGAAUGACUAUUUGGUUUCAAUUCCUAUCAUAAUUGAUCUUAGAGCAUCCACAAUAGGGGAGUUUAAUGGAAGAGUUGAAUGAGGUGUCAUGCCUACUUGUCAUUCAAUGGAUACAACUCCACCAUUGUGAAAUGCCACCUUGGCAUUCAAUGAAUUUGGAGUUCAAUGGUCAUUGAACUCUUCAAUGGGAAAAAGGAAAAUCUUUAAAUCUUUAAAUAAAUAUUUUUUAAUAUAUUCCAUUGAACUUGUAGAGUUUAAUGCAUUGUGGGAUAAAAAUGAAAAGAGUUGUAUGGAAUAAUGAAUGAUGACGUGACACUCCAUUGAACUCUAUAGAGUUCAAUGCAUUGUAGAUGCCCUUAGUCCCACAUAAAUAAACUUUUAUACCCUUCUAUAUUAUAAUUAGUUUAUUUAAUAUAUAAAUAGCUAUGUUUUAUAGUUAACAAUAAAUUUUGUUCAUNNNNNNNNNNNNNNNNNNNNNNNNNNNNNNNNNNNNNNNNNNNNNNNNNNNNNNNNNNNNNNNNNNNNNNCUCUCUCUCUCUCUCUCUCUCUCUCCCAUCACACCCUCCUAAUCUUUAUUUCUUUCACUCGAUCGGUCAACCUCUUUUCUUUCUACAUAAAAAUUAAUCCAAAAUGCAGCCUUUUCCCAUACUCUGUGCUUGCACCGCCACUUUACCUUCUUGAAACCAAAUUACUAACCAUACACAAGUCUACAAAUCUACUAAUGUGUCUUCCAUUUCUCAAAAUCGAAAAAUAGAGAAGGUGUAGAACAUUGAGCUCACUUCUGUGCAUCUCCCACCUCUUUUACACAAAUAUGAAAUUAAAAUUGAAGAACAACUUUGUGAAGAACCUAGAUUGUGGAGAUGAUGAUGAAUAAAGUCGAUAGUUGGUGGUGCUCGGUGAUGUUUGAUGUUAGCGGCAGUACACUAGUGUUGUGGUGAUCGCCUGUUCAGUUGGUUAUAUUCUGGUAGGGUGGACGAUGGUGACCGUAGAACAGUUCAUAUAUAUAUNNNNNNNNNNNNNNNNNNNNNNNNNNNNNNNNNNNNNNNNNNNNNNNNNNNNNNNNNNNNNNNNNNNNNNNNNNNNNNNNNNNNNNNNNNNNNNNNNUAUAUAUAUAUAUAUAUAUAUAUGUGUGUGUGUGUGUGUGUGUGUGUGUGUGUGUGUGUGCGCGCGCACACUACAAGAAAUUUAGGUGUUUAUCCACACACGUUAUAUGUGGCUAAAAGACCUUUAUGUGUAGUUAUCUUUAGCUACACACAGAUUAAGUGUCAUAAUGUAUUGACUCAUGCCUAUAGAUAUAUAUCAUUAACUAUACAUUCAUUAUGUGGAAGUAUAGUGCAAUUAGUACACACAUACAUGUGUGGUUAAAACUAGUAAGUAUGUGCAUAUAGAAAGGGAGCUGAUCCGUUCACAACAAUUUUUCUCCAUACACAAUAAUUGAUGCUUUAAAAUGUUGUAUUAUACAACUAUAUAAUGCAUGAAUUGUUGUGUAUGGCAAAAAACUGUUGUGUACGAAUCACUUCCCAUAUAGAAGUACUAAAAAUUGUUUGAGUUGUCAACGAUGUGGCUGAUGACAUGUCAAAUUAUGUGGCAAGCCCACACAAAGUGUUGGUGAUAUGUGUUAUUCGAUAUGUGUGGGUAAUAAUUGUUAUAUGUGUAGGUUAAGAUAAGAUAUAUGAAAUAUAUAAAACACAAUAAAUGAAAUAUAAAAUUUAACAACACAAAUUGUUAUUACUUUUAAUAAGGAGUUAACGAUAUAUAAAACUUCUUUUGGAAUGGAAGUAUGUAGCACCCAAAGUCAGAAAGGCCAAGAAAGGAAAGGAAACCCUAAGUUUAAGGGACGACUCAGCAAGUCCAAGGAGGUACUCGGCGAGUCCGAGCGGGAUCCGGGUCGAGGAGUAAAUGACCGACUCGGCGAGUCGGCCAAGGAGACUCGGUGAGUCUGGUCUGUACGAGGAAAUCCCUAAAUUCGGGACUUGGAGCCUAUUUAAGCGCCUCAUUCUCUUCUCUAGGGUUCCUCUACUGCCUCUCUAACCNCUCAACCCCACCCCCGCCCCGCCAUAUCCAUUGUUGAGCCAAUUAUUGCUUUGAAGAGUGCAUUAAAGCUUGGAGAAGGAAGAAGGACCUUGGAGGUGCAAGAAGGAGCUAUAGAUCUGGGCUUGGGAAGAUAUUUCUGAACAUUUGGAGGUAAUAAACUAGUUCUUGGACUCCUUUGCACCUAGAUCUAUGUGUGAGUUUUGGGGCUUUUGGCCAUGAUUGGUACCCAUUUAAGUUAGAAGCCAGAUCUAAAGUUGCUACUUCGGAUAUAAGCAUAUUAUGGGCUUGUGAAGCAUAAAGUAUCAGCCCUUGAGUUGAUUAUGGAGCCUCUUUGCAUUAAACCCUAUUUUAUGGUGUGUCUAGCCUAGAUCUCCUUCUCUACACGUAAAGUUUGCAACUUUACGUGAGGAAUAGGCUUGGGAAGGGUAGAUCUACAGUUUGGGGUCCAUGCAUGACUCAAAAGUCCUCUACAUGUAUGUAGAUCUGAAUGGACUCGGCGAGUCCUUUGAGUGGACUCGGGGAGUAGCAUGAAGAUUAGGAGGAACUCAACGAGUGGGAUGAACAGCUCAUCGAGUCGGAUGAAGUUGGGCAGGAACUCGGCGAGUUGGAAGAACAACUCGGAGAGUCGGUUGAAGAUUGCCUUGGACUAGGUGAGUCUGUUCUUGGACUCGGCGAGUCAGGUCGCGAAACCCUAAACCCUUCGACUUGAGACUCGAAUCAGUGAGUCGAGUGGAGACUCGGUAAGUUGGACAGGUCAGGACUCGGAAAUCGGUAGACUCGGCGAGUCAUGGACUGACUCGGUGAGUCGAGUCGCGAUUGGAAGGACUUAGAGCAUAUGAACUCGGCGAGUCAAUAGGUAGACUCGGCGAGUAGGGUUGACCUGGAAGAUUGACUUUGAACAGGACUUUGACUUUGACCAGAGUUGACUUAGUUGACUGUUGGGGGUCAGUUAGUCUAAGUGUUUCAUUGAUAUUGGUAGCUCGGGGAGCUAGUGGAGCAGGAGUUCAGAGAGUUUCCGGGCAGCAUCCAGAAGGUUAUCAGCAUGUUCAGCAAGUGCAUGUGAGUUUCCCUUUGUGCCAAUGGGUCUACGGUCACAAUGUCGGCCCAUGUAGUUAUGAGUAGAAGACCCGGGGGUUAGCCCUAGGCACAGUAUGCUAGUAUGAUAUUCAGGACGAGGUCCAAUGAUAGCGGGCGGGUGCCCAAGGAAUGGUUUAUGUGAUAGUUUAUACUUGUUGUAUGUGUGAUACUUGUAUGUGUCUGGUAGGGAGGUGAGUGUGGGCGAGGUCCCGUAUCUCACCAAUAGCAGAGUGUGGAUGGUGUUCCACAUCUCAGUAGCAGCAGAGCAGGGGCGAGGCCCAAGUUAGGGAAGGAGUGAGGGUGGGCUGGGCCCGUACCUCACUAUCAGCAGGAGUAUGGACGGGGUUCCAUGACUCAUCAGUAGCAGGACAAGGGCGGGGCCCAGAGAUAGGCGAGGCCUUAGGACAAGAUCCGUUAGUAUGUGUUUAGCUUAUGUGAUGUGAUGUGAUAUGUUUAUGUGCUAUUAUAUGUUAGUGGGCGAGGCCCUGUGACAGGCGAGGCCUAAGUGAAACAGAUCUGUAUCCGAGCGGGGCUCGAAGCCAGGCGGGGCCUGGAGCGGCGGGGCCGUUGUAGCGGGCGAGGCCCGAGGUAGGGGGGGAGGCCCAGGAUAGCGGGCGUGGCCCAGCGUGUGCAGUAUGUGGUUAUGCAUGGUAUGUGGUAGGGUGGGGAACUCACUAAGCUUCGUGCUUACGGUUUUCAGUUUUGGUUUCAGGUACUUCCGGUAGCGGAGGGAAGAGCUCGGGGGUGAUCGCAUGGCACACACCAUAGAUUAGACAGUCUGGGAAUGUUUUACUCUGACAAUGAACAUGUGUUUUGGAAAAUUAAUACUCUGAUUAUGUUUUGAAUUGGUGACCUUGCUUAAAGAAAUCUUUUAUUAAAAGAAAUUUUUAGUCAUGAAUUUUGGGACGUUACAAGUUGGUAUCAGAGCCUUGGUUUGAGGGAUUCGGGCAUACUCUCGGGUGUGCCUGAACUCAAACUAAGGGGUCGGAUAAAAAGUUUUCAAAAUGAAAAGACAGUUUUCUAAAAAGAGAGUUUUGGGAAAGAAAACAGUUUUAGAAAAGCAAAAAGAAUUCAGAAAGAAAAGAACUUUGAAAAGAAAAAAAUGGUGUGGUGCAUGCAAUCAGCUGGUCUUAAGUAAGUACCCCAAAUUACCCAUACAAGUUUAUGUUAUGAUUAUCAGUUAGUAGAACAGCAUGCUAGAUUAGGACUAAGGAUCUAGGGAGGAUGCCUUAUGUGCCUAUUAUAUGUGCUUUGAGUUGCAUGAUAGUGUUGAUUAGACAGUGGUAGGAUAGCCUGUUUAGGUUAUGCCUGAGUAUAUGAGUUUGUGUUGCAUGCUAGUUCAGAUUCUUGCUAUGUGGAUAUGAUUGCUUAUGUAUGUUAUGGUUAGAUUUUCCCCUUGUCUGAAUGCUGCCUGCUUUGUGCAAUAUGGGAUUCCGAGUGAUGGGAGUAACCAUUAGGUGGAUACGUCACGUCACAUGUGAUCAGGGUUGAAUAAUCUCAGAGUGCUAAAUUUGGCCCUAUUUCGCAGCUCUCGUUUGAGUCCAACCAUUGUAGGGAUGAGUCUUUUACUCGAAGAAUUAUCUGAGCCUUGUCACAUGUGAUGGUGUCCAGUUGAUGGCCAAUUGGCAUCACAAGGAGUCCUUCAGCAGCUGAGGCCUGGUUUGGUGUGAGUCAGAGGUUUCCUUAGGGUAAGCCUAGGAUGAGAUAGUGUUGGGAGCAGUAGUAGUGGAUAAGGGACCUGGUGGAGUCGAAGCAAUUCCNGAGGAAAGUACAGAUAGAUAUGGAUGGUAGUAUGGGCCCGUACUACUGAAAGCAGAGGAUCCGUACUCGAUUCGGGAAAGGCUGAGACAAGACCGAGAACCUAGUAGGGUGAGUGUGUGUCUGGUCUCACAGCAGUGAUAAGUAUUCUGAUAGAGGAUGUAUUAUAUAUUCAGCAUGGUGACAUUGCGAGAGAGACCAGUGGGUGGACCAGGCGCCGGAGAGGGAUCGCUCGGGGUCNAGCAGCUCGAGGAGCGGAUGAGGGAGUUGAUAUCAGCUGAGGUUACGCGCAGUAUUCUAGAUCAGACUCCUGUGAUCUUUGGCACGGUCAAGGAGGGUAUAUUGGAGAUUUUGGAUGAGAGGCUGGGAGCCUUCCGUACCGAGAUGAUGGCAUUGAUGGGAGCACGUACCUUGACAUUUCGAGAGUUCAGGGCUUGCGGGGCACCAGAUUAUCAUGGGGCUAGGGACCCCAUCGCUAGCAGCAGAUGGUUGGUUGAUGUUGCCAAUGCAUUCCGUACGAGCCGGUGUCCUGAGGGGGACAAGGUUAGGCUCGCUUCUUGUCUUCUGAAGAACAGAGCAAGGGAUUGGUGGGAGGAGAUUAGUCAUGCCUUGGGGGAUGAUGUCGCGUUGGAUGCGAUGACUUUGAGCGAUUUCUCGUCCAGGUUCAGGGCGGAGUUUUCGCCGAUUAUUGAGGUGCAGCAGUUGCCACAGGAGUUUCAGGAUUUGACGCAGACCACUGAGACUGUGGCGGAGAUCACCGCCAAGGUCAGGGAGAGGGCUCUUCUUGUACCGCAGUGUGUCGCGGAUGAGGAGAUGAAGAAGGCCCGAUACCAUGAGAUGUUGAGGGAUGAUAUCAGGGUGUUCGUGAUCAGGUCCAGCUGUAAGACGCUAGAAGAUAUGAUUUCUCGAGCUAGAGAGAGGGAAAUUGAUUUGGAGCAGAUCCGGAAGAGGAAGCCGGAUGAGGUUUAGGUAGCCACAGGUUCGGGCAAAAGGCCUAAGGGAUCAGAUUCGAGAUCGAGGGAUUAUCAGGACCGCAGUCGGUGCGGGAAGUGUGGCAGGGCGCACAGGGGUGCGUGUAGGAGUGGUAGCGGUGGUGAUUCUGGCUGCUUCAAGUGCGGUCGGACUGGUCAUUUCAGUAGAGAUUAUACUGUUACCACCACACAGGGAUCAGACUUGAUAUGUUUUCACUGCAAUCAGCGGGGCCACAAGAAGGCCCAGUGCCCCAGUUUGUUUUCAAUAGGACGGGUGAUGACACUUGCCCCUGCAACUUUGAGGAUCACAGACGGCCGUCAGGGCCGUGCAGAGGCGCCUGCGGUAGGAGGCAGGUCUUUUCAGAUGACUACCUUGGAGGCGCGAGCAGCACCGGACGUUGUAGGUAUGCGAUUUUGUUUUCAGUUCUUUUAUUUGUGCAUGAUUAUAUUGUUAUGGUUCUGGAUCAUCAUUGGUUUGAGUAUUUUAUUUUUUGAGCGGUUGAUUGUGAUCGAGUUAUAUGCCAUCUUAAUACCUUGGAUAUUUGAAUGGUAGUUAGGAGAUGUGCUCUAUUAGAGAAGGUUUCAUAGGAUGCAGUAAUUGUAGCAUGCCUGGGAGGGACUUGGUAUGUCUCGCUAGAUCGGAGUUGUAUAAUGUUAGAGAUGGAUUGGUUAGAUCCCUAGCUAUGGUGAGCUUGGGUUCCUCAGCAGCUUGAUUAUGGAAUGGUAGCAAGGAUUGGGAUUCUUUUGAGUAUUGAGCAGCAAGGGGUAAGCAGGAUCGAAGUGGGGGAGAAUCCUCCGAGUGUGCAAAGGUAGGAUCACGCAGACCCAAAAUGAGUGCGCGACCUCCGAGAAGGAAAAGAAGUAGUUCAGCGUUUGAUGGAUUGAGGAUUUCAGGGUUGGGAUUUUGAGAAACUCCCCAUCAGCUAGUGCGUGUGAUGGUGAUGGUUAGUAUGUGGUUGGGAAUUCAGGUUGUGGAUCGCCCGUAGGACUCGAGGGAGUCGGAAUGAGGAUCUUGAGAGCUAAUGGCACAUGGGUGCCUUCGUAUUAGCAGUCAGUGGUAGAAAGUGAUGUAAGACUACGGGGCAGCCGUAGCAUUCACUAACAGUUAGUGGUAGAAAGUGAUGUAAGACUACGGGGCAACUAUAACACUCACUAGUAGUCAGUGGUGGAAGUGUUGUAAGACUACGGGGCAACCAUAGCAUUCACUAGCAGUCAGUGAUGGAUGGUGAUGUAAGACUACUAGUAAGCCGUAGCAUUCCUUAGUAGCUUCGUUAGCGGAGUUGGGGCGAGGCCCUUAUCUCCUAGCGAUCAGAUAGGGAUCAGGAAUGGGUAGUGGAUGAAAGUGAUAGGAAGUUUGCUUGUAUAGCCCUAGAGAGGUGAGACCUUGGGAGAGGCCGCUCCAGGAUAUAGUUGGGUGAGGCCUGUGGGCGAGGCCCGUAUGAGAGUAGCGGUAUAGGUGAGACCUGAGAGUAGGGUUGCUCAGUAGUAUGGCCGGGUGAGACCCGUAGGCGAGGCCCGAGAGAGAGUGGUUAGACAAGUAGGACUAGAAGGAUAGAGGCGGGGGGGACCCGUGGGCGAGGCCCGUGUGUUUUAGCGGCAUAGGGGGGACCUGGUAAGGACCUUAGUGUCAAGAUAAGGGAUCGGGGAUCCAUGGAUUGUAGUGACUGAAUGGCAGAAUAGAUUGCGCAGUUAUAGGUGGUCAAAGUUCCUUCGAAAGUCGCUGGGAGCGACUAGGAGUAGUGUUGGGACUAGCGACCGGUGGGAUCCGGUAAUCCAGAUAUUGGUAGGACGGUAGGGAUUAGGGUGGUCUCAGUUCAUCCGGAAGGCAGAUAAGGAAUAGCAGAAUUUUCAGUCAGUAGUAGUGCGGGUAAGCAGUGUAUGGUGGAAUUCAGUUAGUUGUAUCGAGGGGUGCUCGACACCAAGUUUUGACAGAGAGGAGUGUCAGUGGUUACUGGCGGUGAUGACCUGUACUGGAAGUAGCGGGGGUGAUGGAGUUGGCGAAGGAUAUGACCUUCACAGUGACAGAGGAAAUAGUUGGUUAUGGAGCAUUGCCUUGGGAAGGCAAGGAAUUCGCACAAGGAAAGAAGGGGUGAACCCCUAUAGGUUCAGUACAGUACUCGGUGAGUACCGGAAGGAUUGUCGGUUGAGUAAGUUGUGUUUCCAGGAUGUUCAGGGUCAGGGUGACCUGAGUCUAUUAUCCGCAAGGAAUGAUGUUAGUCAGAAUGACCGGGCGGAAGACCAGCGAAGGUAGGCAGCUGGUGUUGGAAUGAUUAGUUGGGUAUUGAAAGCAUAUCGCAGGCAGUGGCCCAUAGCAAACUUCGAGGAUGAAGUUUAGUUUAAGUGGGGGAGAGUUGUAACACCCAAAGUCAGAAAGGCCAAGAAAGGAAAGGAAACCCUAAGUCUAAGGGAUGACUCAGUAAGUCCAAGGAGGAACUCGGCGAGUCCGAGCGGGAUCCGGGUCGAGGAAUAAGUGAACGACUCGGCGAGUCGGCCAAGGAGACUCGGUGAGUCUGGUCUGUACGAGGAAAUCCCUAAAUUUGGGACUUGGAGCCUAUUUAAGCGCCUCAUUCUCUUCCCUAGGGUUCCUCUACUGCCUCUCUAACCCAGAACACCAAACCCUAGCCGCCAUAUCCGUUGUUGAGCCAAUUAUUGCUUUGAAGAGUGCAUUAAAGCUUGGAGAAGGAAGAAGGGCCUUGGAGGUGCAAGAAGGAGCUAUAGAUCUGGGCUUGGGAAGAUAUUUCUGAACAUUUAAAGGUAAUAAACUAGUUCUUGGAAUCCUUUGCACCAAGAUCUAUGUUGAGUUUUGGGGCUUUUGGCCAUGAUUGGUAUCCAUUUGAGUUAGAAGCCAGAUCUAAAGUUGGAACUUCGGAUCUAAGCAUAUUUUGGCCUUGUGAAGCAUAAAGUAUCAGCCCUUGAGUUGAUUAUGGAGCCUCUUUGCAUUAAACCCUAUUUUAUGGUGUGUUUAGCCUAGAUCUCCUUCUCUACACGUAAAGUUUGCAACUUUACGUGAGGAAUAGGCUUGGGAAGGGUAGAUCUACAGUUUGGGGUCCAUGCAUGACUCAAAAGUCCUCUACAUGUAUGUAGAUCUGAAUGGACUCGACGAUUCCUUUGAGUGGACUCGGCGAGUAGCAUGAAGAUUAGGAGGAAUUUGACGAGUGGGAUAAACAGCUCGUCGAGUCAGAUGAAGUUGGGCAGGAACUCGGCGAGUUGGAAGAACAACUCGGCGAGUCAGUUGAAGAUUGCCUUGGACUUGGCGAGUCUGUUCUUGGACUCGGCGAUUCAGGUCACGAAACCCCAAACCCUUCGAGUUGAGACUCGAAUCAGUGAGUCGAGUGGAGACUCGGUGAGUUGGACAGGUCAGGACUCGGAAAUCGGUAGACUCGGCGAGUCGAGUCGCGAUUGGAAGGACUUUGAGCAUAUGAACUCGGCGAGUCAAUAGGUAGACUCGGCGAGUAGGGUUGACCUAGAAGAUUGACUUUGACCAGGACUUUGACUUUGACCAGAGUUGACUUAGUUGACUGUUGGGGGUCAGUUAGUCUAAGUGUUUCAUUGAUAUUGGUAGCUCGGGGAGCUAGUGGAGCAGGAGUUCAGAGAGUUUCUGGGCAGCAUCCAGAAGGUUAUCAGCAUGUUCAGCAAGUGCAUGUGAGUUUCCCUUUGUGCCAAUGGGUCUACGGUCACAAUGUCGGCCCAUGUAGUUAUGAGUAGNGGAAGGUUGACUUUGACCAGGACUUUGACUUUGACCAGAGUUGACUUAGUUGACUGUUGGGGGUCAGUUAGUCUAAGUGUUUCAUUGAUAUUGGUAGCUCGGGGAGCUAGUGGAGCAGGAGUUCAGAGAGUUUCUGGGCAGCAUCCAGAAGGUUAUCAGCAUGUUCAGCAAGUGCAUGUGAGUUUCCCUUUGUGCCAAUGGGUCUACGGUCACAAUGUCGGCCCAUGUAGUUAUGAGUAGAAGACCCGGGGGUUAGCCCUAGGCACAGUAUGCUAGUAUGAUAUUCGGGACGAGGUCCAAUGAUAGAGGGCGGGUGCCCAAGGAAUGGUUUAUGUGAUAGUUUAUACUUGUUGUCUGUGUGAUACUUGUAUGUGCCUGGUAGGGAGGUGAGUGUGGGCGAGGUCCCGUAUCUCACCAAUAGCAGAGUGUGGAUGGUGUUCCACAUCUCAGUAGCAGCAGAUCAGGGGCGAGGCCCAAGUUAGGGAAGGAGUGAGGGUGGGCUGGGCCCGUACCUCACUAUCAGCAGGAGUAUGGACGGGGUUCCAUGACUCAUCAGUAGCAGGACAAGGGCGGGGCCCAGAGAUAGGCGAGGCCUUAGGACAAGAUCCGUUAGUAUGUGUUUAGCUUAGGUUAUGUGAUGUGAUAUGUUUAUGUGCUAUUAUAUGUUAGUGGGCGAGGCCCUGUGACAGGCGAGGCCUAAGUGAAACAGAUCUGUAUCCGAGCGGGGCUCGAAGCCAGGCGGGGCCUGGAACGGUGAGGCCGUUAUAGCGGGCGAGGCCCGAGGUAGGGGCGAGGCCCAGGUUAGCGGGCGUGGCCCAGUAUGUGCAGUAUAUGGUUAUGCAUGGUAUGUGGUAGGGUGGGGAACUCACUAAGCUUCGUGCUUACGGUUUUCAGUUUUGGUUUCAGGUACUUCCGGUAGCGGAGGGAAGAGCUCGGGGGUGAUCGCAUGACACACACCAUAGAUUAGACAACCUGGGAAUGUUUUACUCUGAUAAUGAACAUGUGUUUUGGAAAAUUAAUACUCUGAUUAUGUUUUGAAUUGGUGACCUUGCUUAAAGAAAUGUUUUAUUAAAAGAAAUUUUUAGUCAUGAAUUUUGGGACGUUACAAAGUACAUUAAUCCUUGGUACAAAUAUUACAUCAACAAAAGUUAUCUCUAAGCUUUCAUGAAAUUGAAGACCUUAUGCCUAACACAACCAUUGUAUCUAGAUAAGAUUUUCCUACUUAUUUACUUUGUUGUGUGCAAAUAUUAAUACACUUGACUUAAGCAUCACCAACAUUUGGACAUAAUUGUUGACGUUGAGGUGGUUGGUUAGAGCAUUAGUCAACUUUAAUAUUCAAGUGAAGACGUAUCAAAUACAAGUGAUUGUAGUUCACUCCUAUAGCAACAAGAGGAGCAGAGGCUUUAAGUAGUUUAUCCAUUUCAACAUGAAACUCUUUUCACACAUGAACGAUCUUAUGACACCUGUCAAAUGCCUCUUAAAAUAUACAAUCAACACUUGGUCAGUAGCUUUCUUCUCUGUGGCCAGAACCAUGACCUCUUCAUUUCCCUAUAUUAAUGAUGACAGGUUCAUAAACUAAAAGGACUGUAAAGUCAAAAUAGUUGACAUUAUGUUGACAUACCUAGUGGUGUGAAGAGAAGAAUAAAUAGAAUGUUUGUAAUAAACCCGCUUUCUUGGGUGAGGAAACCAUGACACUUGUUCAGAAAUGAAACAUCCCAACUAGCACCUAACGACUUUUGCUACAUUGAGAUAUACUAGCAAACAACAUAAGCAAAUCACAUGGAAAAUUAUUACAAUUAAUAAAACUCAUAAAUAAAGUGGUAAAAACAGCCUUGCACACACUCUUGAUUAAAAAAAUAGUUUAUAUUAGUGUAACAUCCCGAUUUCUCGAUAUCAGUUUAAAGUUCUAGAGUCAUGUUUCAAAGACAACUCGACGAGUUGAUAGGCCAACUCGUUGAGUAGUGACCAAAUCAGCCAUGUGGAUUUUAGACCCUACUCGUCGAGUUGGAGGACCCGACUCGACGAGUAGGUGCUGGAAAGUGAAAACCAUAAUUUUUAGGGUUUGCACCCUAUUUAAAGGUCCUUAACUUUCCUCCUCAGCCUCCCUUGUCACCUUCACGUCCAAAAAAACCAACUAGUCUCUAUUCUUGAGUGUGUGAGACCAAAAGAGAGUGUAUUGGAGCAUUCUUAAGGAGUUAAGAGCUUUGAACAAGGGAUAGCUUGUAGAUCCAACUUUUCCAGUGUUGUGACAACAAUAUUGAGUUAUAAAGCUACCACCUUUAUAUUUCAUUGCUUAGAUCUUCCUUUUUGGUAAAGUAAUUGUCAUGUCUAGGGCAUGAUGGGGUCACACUCGGAUUUAAGCUUGCCACAAGGGCAUAGUUUUAGAACUUGACUUCUUAAGGCCUUAUGAACAUAAAUCCUUAAGCUUUAUGAAGCCCUAGCCCUCCUUCAUGUCCAAAACCUUCUCCUAAUGCUAAUUAUGAGUGUUUUAGCUUCAUAGAACCAUGCAUGCAUGUAAAGUUAGCAACUUUAUGUGAUAACAACACCCUAGGAGCAUAGAUCUACUGUUUGGAGCUUUGGAGCAGCUUAAAAUAGUCUGAAUGAGUGAUGGACUGAAGGAGACUCGACGAGUUUCAUGGUUGAAUCGAAGAGUCGGUUGAAGAUUGCCCAUAAUGGUUUUGCAUGGACUCGGCAAGUCAGUAAGAAGACUCGACGAGUCAGUUAGGGUUCUUCCUGACAUUUAGACACGCGUAGACUCGCCGAGUUGGUGGGGAAACUCUGCGAGUUGGCCCAGGGAUUUCACGGUUUUCUGAGUUUUGGAGGAACUCGAUAGGUCAGUAGUUGGACUCGACGAGUUGGGUCAACAUGGACUGUUGACCUUGACUGUUGACUUGGAGUUUGACCAGGGUUAACCAUGUUUGACUUUGGAGGGUAUUUGGUAAAUGGGUAUUUAAGGAAAUGGAUCAUGGGUGGAUAUAGGUAAUGGAGUUUGGGGCAGUAUUUUGAGAGCGUGAUUUCGUGGUUUAGUUCGGCAUUGCAAGGUGAGUUAUCCUCACUAUAUCAACAGGGUCUAAGGCACCAAGGUCAGCCCUUUAUCUGAUUUGUAUUCGGGUAUUUGCUUGAUAUGUUUUUUGAUCUGCUAGAUCUGCAUCCUGGUAGUUAGGAUGGUAUUAUGUUUAGUGACCUGGUUUAGGUCAGUAUCCUGGUAUAUGGGAUGAUGUUAUGUUAGUGACCGGUUAGGUCGGUAUCCUGGUUAUAGGACGGUUGUUGUGUUAGUAAUCAGUUAGUUUGGUAUGAUUAUCUGUUGUAUACAUGCUCGCGUAUAAUAUUUAUGUGCACAUGAUUGUUUGAUUGUUAUGGGGGUUGGGUUGAGGCGGGUCCUGCUUCGUGUUGUAGGCCAACAUACCCAUGGCGGACCGGAAAGACUACAGGCCCAGGAAGGCACAUUGUCCAACCAAUGGCCCAACGAGCGGUCCGGAUAGGCUGAAGGCCCCGAGAGGGUGGUCCAAACGUGCCGAGGCUCGGAGAGUGGGCCAGGUGGACUGAAGGCCCGGUGCGGGCGGUCCAGUCAUACUGUAGACUCAAAGAGUGGACCAGGUGGACUGAAGACCCAGUGCGGGUGGACCAGUCACACAGUAGACUCGGGAUGCAUGGCUGUUCAGUGUUUGUUAUAUGAUAUGAUUAUGGAUUGUAUGAGGUUGGUAUUUUGGGGGUAACUCACUAAGCCUUCGAGCUUACGUUUAUCAAUUUAUGUUUCAGGUACAACGAAUUAACCCAGGAAGACGAAUGUGUGAUCGUACACUUCCCCAUAAUAUGUUUUGGAUUUUCUGGGAUACUCUGAUGUGAAACUAUUUUGGAAACCUUUUUGUAAUAACUAUUGGCAUUUGAAAUGUUUUUAAAAGUUUAAAUUUGGCUUGGAUUUUAUGGGUGUUACAAUUAUUUCAAUUAUCCAAGACGAUUUUAUGUCGAGAUUUUAAGUUAACAUUAAAUCUCAAUUAUUUGUUUGAAUGAUUUUUUUCUUUUAUCUUAGAGAUUUGUUUGAAAUUUAUUAAUUUUUUUUAUAAAUUUGAAUUAAUCAAAGACACAUAUAAAAAUAUCUCAUCAAAUCAAAUAAAUUUAAUAUAUAAAAAAGAUAGUAUCCGAUUAAGUCAAUCUAAAAAUACCAACAUAUAAAUAUAACUCACAAAUCUUGAUGGGAAUAAGAAUCAAACUCAAAAUCAAUCAAAUAAAAAAACCUUUGAUUUGUGUUAUAAGUAUAAAAUAAAUCAGGAUUCCAAAUAAAUAUUACAAUGAAAAAAAACCUAAAAUGUUUGAAACAAAAUAUGAAAUUCGCCAUCACUGUCAAUUUAAAAAAAAAACCUUUAUUAAUACUAAUGGGCUAUUUGGUAGCAUCCUGAUGAAUCAUAUCUGAAUGAUCUAGAUGCCUGGAUGAUCUAGAUGCUCUUUAGGAAUUUCUAUCGGAAUGAUAAAAUAAUGUUUGGUUAGGCAUCUAAAUAUCUGCCUCUUAAUGAGGAAAAUAACCAUUUUAGCCCUCUAAAUUAUUUUUUGAAUACAAAAUAAACAUUAUACAAUAUCCAACAAAUCGGUUAAAACAAAUUGGCUUUUGAUAUUCAGAUUCAUGUGUUUCUUCAUCAACAAUCUCUUUGAAGAGGACUCGUUUUGUUUCUGUUUUUAGAUCAUUAGGCUUUCUUGCUUCUGGAACAUUGAUGGGCCUAUUUUCUUGCUGAAUAUCUUCCAUCACUAGCAACUUCAUCUUGCUCCUAGAUCACAUAUCAACUAAACAAGUUGAAAAAUAACCAAACACAUAUUUUCAUAUAGAACAUUUCAAGCAAACACAAACACAUUUUCAAAAAAAAAAAAACAAAUCAAUUGUUAUUUUCAGAUUUCCAAAGGACAAAAACAACAUCAACUGAACACAUAUAUAGAGCAAGAAGAACAAAGCACAAAAAUCGAUUUCAUACAAAAUCGAGCAGCAAGAACACGAUUGACACCAAUUUCAUGCAAAAUUGCUCAACAAUAACACGAUUGAAGCAACAGAUUCGAGAAAAAAAACCAUACCUGAAAACUUACCGACGACGAGUAGGCGGAGAAGUAGGAGCGUUGUCGAAGGCAUGCAAGGGGAGGCGGCGACGGAGCCAAUAAUUGGAAGUUGUCAACGCUUAAUGAAGAUAAAGAAUGAGGGAUGAAAGGUCGAUCUCUAGAAAGAAGGAGAAGAAAAAAGAGUCGGCCGCAAUUUGUUGUUAGGGCAAUGGUAGAAGAUGAAAAUUUUUUUAUUCAGACUUCUCCUCAUAUCUUAACGAAUCAGAUUAGUUUUAGCUACAUCUGACCGAUUAAGAGCGUAAAAAUGUUUCAACCAAACACUCUGAAUCUUAAUGAUCCAAAUGCAACCUCUUAAUGAGACCAUUAAGAGGCAAAACAAACAGCCCCUAAAUAAAAAAAACAAUAUAGUUUCCAUAAAAAUCGAUUUAAAUAUUAAAGAAGAGAAGAAAUCAGCAUUUAUACGACGUAAUAGUUUUUUAAAAUUAAAAAAAAAAAAUUAUUCAUAUUAUAAGUAUAAAAUACAUUUUAUUCUUAACUCUCAUUUGUAAUUUGCCAUAUGUUUUCAUAAGAGUUUAUGGUAAUAACUUAAAUUUUUAUUUUUCCAUAUACCAUUUUUCAUUUACAAAAUUGUUUGUGCUUAUUUUUUUUUGUUAUAUUAAAAUUUAUUAUAUUUUAUUAUAUAAUAUAUAUCAUAAUUUUUUUCAUUAAUUUACAUAUAUCUUAUUUUUACGUGUUUAUUUGAAACAAUCGUUAUAAUGCAAAAUAAAUACCACUUCUCCAUAUUAAUUAUUAAUUUUUAUUAAAAUACUUUAUUAAUUAUUAUAAUUUUUAUCUAUUGAUAUUCGUUUAAUUUUGUAAGUUUUAUUUUCACAAAGUAUAACCUAAUUAAUUUCUCAUCAUCUAUAGUAAAUGAAAGUUUUUUUUUUCACAUGCAAUCACUAAUUAAUUUUGACACUUGUCAUUUUAUAAUAUUUUUUAAAUAAAUAAUAUCCACAUAUCAAUUUAUGAUUUUUNNNNNNNNNNNNNNNNNNNNNNNNNNNNNNNNNNNNNNNNNNNNNNNNNNNNNNNNNNNNNNNNNNNNNNNNNNNNNNNNNNNNNNNNNNNNNNNNNNNNNNNNNNNNNNNNNNNNNNNNNNNNNNNNNNNNNNNNNNNNNNNNNNNNNNNNNNNNNNNNNNNNNNNNNNNNNNNNNNAUCAAAUGUAAUAAAUAUUAUUUUAAAAUUUCAUUUUAAAAAAUAUUUAUUAUUACAUUUUAAUAUUUUAUAUUCUUUAAUCAACCGUGUAAUACAUUUUAAUACAUAGAUUUUCCAUCUAAUAAAUAAAUAAAAUGUAACCAUUUUAAUCACUAAAUAAUUAAUCAACCAAAGAUUAAAACCCACUGAUAAAAAGGAAACUAAAUCAACACCAAAUUGAAAAUUAAACCAUAUAUUACUAAAUUAAUUCACAGAGAGUUCGACAUCAAUCAAAUAUUAUCUCGCACUCAAAUUCACAAAACUCACUUUCCAGGUACAAAGUUUGUAGCAUAUGACCAUGCAUUGUUUGCAACAGGGUCAGCAAGGUGGUCAGCGAGGUUCUCCAAUGGUCCCUUUCCGGUAACAAUGGCUUGAACAAAGAAUCCAAACAUAGAGAACAUGGCUAGUCUACCGUUCUUGAGCUCCUUCACUUUCAGCUCAGCAAAUGCCUCUGGGUCAUCAGCCAGACCCAAUGGGUCGAAGCUACCACCAGGGUAAAGUGGGUCAACUACCUCACCAAGAGGUCCACCAGCAAUUCUGUAACCUUCAACUGCACCCAUCAAGAUCACUUGGGUAGCCCAGAUGGCUAAAAUGCUUUGUGCAUGGAUCAAACUUGGGUUCCCCAAGUAGUCAAGACCACCCUCACUAAAGAUCUGGGAUCCAGCCUUGAACCAUACAGCCUCACCAAACUUGACACCAUUACGCGCCAAGAGUUCGGGGAAGACGCACCCAAGAGCUCCGAGCAUGGCCCAUCUGCUGUGGAUGACCUCAAGCUCACGGUUCUUGGCGAAUGUUUCAGGAUCAGCAGAGAGCCCAGCAGUGUCCCAACCGUAGUCACCGGGGAACUCACCGGUCAGGUAAGAUGGGGCUUCGCCGGAGAAUGGGCCAAGGUACUUAACACGGUCGGGGCCGUACCAUGGACUUCCUGAUGGUGCGACUUUCUUGACUGCUGUCUUCCUCAUGGAAACCCUUCCAUUUCCGAUUAUUUCUGAACCAGAUGGUGCUGCUUUCACUGCCUGUCCGACGAAAGAAGAAGAUAGAGCCAUG